GGGGCAAAUCUCAACACCUUUUUUCCAUGGAGAUACUUCCAAGAAUACUCUAUCUCCAACUUGAAACUCAAUUUCCUUUCUUUUCAAAUCAACAUAUGAUUUUGCCUAUCCGAUGCCGCUUUCAAACAGUCUCGUAUCACUUUAAAUUUCUCUUCAGUUUCUUUAAUCAAAUCAACUCUGUGAAUCUGAUUUUCCUUAAGUUAUGUCCAGUACAAUGGAGUUCAGCACUUCCUGCCAUACAAGGCCUCAUAAGGUGCCAUCUUCAAACUCGUCUGAAAACUAUUGUUGUAGGCGAAUUAUACUAGUGGCAAAUAUUUUUCCCAACUACCCUGAAAUUCAAGGACGCAACAUCGCAACAUAUCCUCAAGAAUCUGAAUCAUCUGCUCAGACUAACCAUCUGUCUAAAGGUGAAAAGCUGCACUAAAGCUUAACUUCAUACCCAAGGCUUCUUGUAAUUUCUUCAAGAAUCUCGAAGUGAACCUCGGGUCUCAGUCGGAAAUAAUUAAUAGUUGUACCCCAUGAAAUCUUACAAUCUCAGAAAUGUAUAAGUCGGCAAAUCUAUCGAGGGAAUAAUAUGUCCUCAACAGAAUAAAAUAAGCCAACUUCGUCAACUUAUCUACUAUGACCCAUACGGCAUUUUUCUUCUUCGAAGUCAAUGGUAAUCCUGUCAUGAAAUCCAUAGUAACUCUAUCCCACUUCCAUUCGGGGACAAUCACAGGCUGUAGAAAACCUGAAGGCACUUGAUGUUCAACUUUAACUUGCUGACAUACCAGGCAUUUCGACACAAAUUUAGAAAUCUCUCUUUUCAUGCCGUUCCACUAGUAUGUUUUCUUCAAAUCAUUGUACAUCUUGGUACUUUUCGGGUGAAUUGACAAACGGCUGUUAUGUGCUUCUUGCAAAAUUUUCCGAAUAAGUUAAUUGUUUUUGGGUACACAAAUCGUAUCUCUGAACAUCAAACAUCCAUCAGAAACAAUCCAAAAAUUUGAUUCAAUACCUCACUCACAUUGAGUUUGUUUAGCUUGAAAGCUAUCAUCAUUAGUUUGAGCAUCAUAGAUUUCAUGAAGGAAUGUCGGCCUAGCCUUUAGCUCAGCCAAGACUGAACCAUCAUCAAGCAAUGCCAAACGAGCAUCCAUAGCCCUUAAUGCAAACAAGGAUUUUCUGUUCGACACGUCAGCGAUCACAUUCGCCUUUCCCAGGUGAUAAUCAAUAAUUAGUUCGUAAUCCUUGAUUAACUCUAGCCACCUCUGCUGCCUCAAAUUUAAUUCUUUUUGAGUUAUCAAAUACUUCAAACUCUUGUGGUUAGUGAAUAUGUGGCAAGUCUCACAAUAUAAAUAAUGUCUACAAAUUUUCAAAGCAAAAACGAUGGCGGCAAGUUUUAGGUCGUGUGUAAGAUAGUUCUUCUCAUGCGGCUUCAACUAUCGUGAAGCAUAGGCUAUUACUUUGCCAUCUUGCAUAAGUACACAACCCAGUCUAUUUGAGGAUGCGUCACUGUAGACUACAAAUUAUUUUCCCGACUCAGGUAAUACUAAAACAGGAGCUUCAGUUGACAGUGUUUUUAACUUCUAAAAACUUUGUUGACACUUUUCCGUCCAUUCAAACUUAAUGUUUUUCUGUAACAAUCUCAUCAUUGGAGUUGCUAUCAUGGAGAAUCCUUUCACAAAUCUUCGAUAGCAACCAGCUAAGCCCAAAAAGCUUCUAACCUCAGUUACAUUUUUAGGUGGUUUCCAUUCAAUAAUAGCAGAGAUCUUACUUGGAUCGACUAGGAUGCCUUCACCAAAAACAAUAUGACCUAAAAAUCCAACUUCCUAAAGCCAAAACUCACUCUUGCUAAACUUAGCAUACAGCUGCUUUUCCCGCAAAGUCUGCAACACAAUUCUCAAGUGCUUCGCGUGCUCUGUCUUAUCUUUGGAAUAAAUCAAUAUGUCGUCAAUGAACACAACGACAAACUUGAUCAAAUAUGGCUGUAAGAUCCUAUUCAUUAGGUCUAUAAAUACAGCUGGUGCAUUCAUCAGCCCAAAUGGCAUGACAAGAAAUUCAUAAUCGCCAUACCUUAUCCUAAAGGCUGUCUUAGGUACAUCCAAUUCUUUAACUCGCAACUGGUAAUAGCCAGACCCUAAGUCUAUCUUAGAGAACACGGUGGCUCCUUUCAACUGGUCAAACAAAUCAUCAAUCCUUGGUAAAGGAUACUUAUUCUUGAUAGUUACCUUGUUCAGUUGGCUGUAAUUUAUACAUAACCUCAUCGAACUAUCCUUCUUCCUUACAAAUAGAACGGGAGCACCCUAAGGUGAAAAGCUCGGCCUUACAAAACCUUUAUCCGUCAGCUCUUGCAACUGUGCUUUCAACUCUCUCAGCUAGGUUGGUGCCAUCCUAUACGGAGCAAUUAAAAUAGGAUCUGUCCUUGGCACCAGCUCAAUACCAAAUUCUAUUUCCCUUUCAGGAGGUAAUCCGGGUAAUUCUUCUAGAAAUACAUCUGGGUACUCACAUACUAUAGGCACAGAUUCAAUCUUCAACUCUGUUUCCUUAGUGUUCAAUACAAUUGCAAGGUAGGCUUCAUACCCUUUUCUCAUAUAUCUCUGAGCAACCAUUGCCGUGAUCACAACCGAAAGCGUACCCAACUCUCUUGAAUCAACCCAUAGAAAUUCACCAUCCGGACAUUUCAAUUUAAUAUACUUACCACCAUAAUUUACAAUUACAUCAUGCAGUGCUAACCAAUCCAUACCAAAUAUUAUAUCAAAUUCAUCAAAUGGUAACAACAUAAGAUUAGCCAGAAAACAAUGACCCUGAAUUGUCAAAGGACAAUUCUUACAGACUUUAUCAACUAUGACUGAUCUGCCUAGUGAGUUCGACACUUUAAUAAUAAAUUCCGUAGGCUCAAUGAGUAUGUUCAUUCUAGAUACCAAGCUCAUACAAAUGUAUGAAUGCGUCGACCCCGGGUCAAUUAAGGCAAUAACACAUGUAUCGAAAAGAGAAAAAGUAUCCGUGAUAACAUUAGGAGCAGAGGCUUCCUCUCGGGCGCGUACCGCAUACGUUCUUGCCGGAGGUUGAGCCUCUAAUUUUGCAGCAUCUUUAACCACAACUCAACUGUCACUGGCACUUCCAAGAUAUCUCGGAGGUCUACCUCAUGAAAUGGGAGUACUCGACUUCAGGGCUACUUUCACUUCUUUCUCGACUCACUCUAGGCAGUCCCUGAGAAAGUGGUCAAGAGAUCCACAUCUGAAACAUGCACGUCUCUUCACUCGGCACUCUCCGAAGUGAAAUUUGUUGCAACUCCUACACUUCAGCUUUUGAUCAUCUACACUCCCCACACUAGUUACCAUCAGGGAGGAAGACUUUUGGCUUCUUCGUUUAGAGCUUCUCGCUCUACCCAAAUAUCCUACUGAUGAAAUGGAGCGUUCAUGCUGGCUCUUUGAUUUCUUGUGGGAAACAAGAGUGUUCUACCACUAGACCUCUUGCUCGCGGCUUAGGCCUCUCUCUUUGUUUGCUUUCUUUCGUUGUUAAGCUCCCCGACCUUCUUGGCCCGAUCAGCCAAUGCAACAACCUCUCAUAUUUCAAGGAUCCCAAUCAACAACUUAAUUUGCUCCUUCAGACCUUCCUCGAAGCGUUUACACAUUUUUGACUCGGUUUGGAGCCAUUCAGUUGCGUGCUGACUUAGCCUCACGAACUCUCGUUCAUAUUCUGCUUCAGUCUUGUUCCCUUGUUUGAGUUUUAGGAACUCAUUUCGUUUCAAGUCUAGAAACCGUUGGCUAAUGUAUUUCUUCCUAAACUCUAUUUAGAAGAAAUCUCAAGUGAUAUUUUCCUUUGGCACUACCGAGGAUACAGUCUUCCACCAAUGAUACGCAAUAUCUUUUAGGAGGGACACGGCACACUUCAAACGCUCCUCAGGUGUGCACGACAAAUCAUCUAACACUGGUGUAGUAUUCUCAAGCCAAAACUCGGCUCUUUCAGCAUCAUCAUCAACUUUAGCUCUGAAUUCCUCAGCCCCAUACUUUCUAAGCUUAUCAACAGGGGCUUUACCAAUUCUUACCGGUGCCCUACCUCGUGGCACAUCCUCAUUAGGUUGGUUAGGGGGCGGGGGAGGUCUUGGUAUGUUGGGGCGAUUCCUCAGGUAAUCCCCAAACCAUUCGUCCUUCAUAAGCCUUCUACUACUACUAGUAGAUACAGCUCGUUGUAUGAAAGCUGGAGCAUGGCUCUCAGCUCCCUCGGACUCAUCUUGUGUUUGAUUGGAAGACAUUUACUAUAUUCAAAACAAUUUAAACAGUUAGGAGACGUCAUACUAUCAAUAUUCGAAUGAUGGUAUGUAUAGCAAACCUCAAUACUCUCUACGAUAGUCCUAGAACUGACUAAAUCGUAGCUCUGAUACCAUUAAAUAUAACACCCUUUACCCGUUACUUGAGAUUCUCGUUCAUAAACAUAUUAAAUCUAAUCACUAAGUUGCACUCUAAUUUAAAACUAUUCAAAUAUGUAUAUCAUUUCCCUUAAACAAGCCUUCGAGACCUGAAACAUGCCUAGAUGCAGUACGGGACAAAACCGAAAACGUUUGAUAAACUUGGGGCACCUUGGAAAAUUUCUUUUAACUUGAAGUGUCACACGCCCGUAUGACUUGGGACACUCCCGUUCAAUCACCCCGUGUCCAAGACUUGAGCAUUCUAUUAAAUUCACACGGCCAAGACACACGCCCGUGUGUCUAGCCCGUGUUCAUUUAACAGACUUACCAUUUUAGAUGCAGGGGACACACAACCAUGCCACACACCUACGGGUGUGGCCCGUGUGUCAUACACGGCCUAGGCACACGCCCGUGUACCCAACUGUGUAAACCCUAUUAGGCUAUUUUCCAAGCCUAUGGUCACCCCCUUUUUAACACUUAUACUUAAUGAAUAUUAAAAACGAAGUAAAACAUGAUUAUGCUCUUAUAAAUGAUCUUUGCAAAAACUUAUUACGUGGAAACCUCAUAUCAUUAGUUUCGUACAUGCUAGGUUAUUUCCCAUCUUGUAUUUAUGUGUUGCCAUACCACUUUAACACAUUCAAGAUUGGCUCGUUCUUAUGACUCAUUGCCAAUUGGAAUUCAACCAUCGCACAUGAUUAUAAACUUGCAUGGAAAUUUUGUAGGUCAUAGCCUACUUCAAAAUAAGCCAAUCUCCAUGGCAAUAUACAAAAAGAUAGAAUUAUCUUUACAUGCUUUCAUUUGGAAAAUUAAAUGACACAUAUAACAAAAUACUCAAAAGACCUAUACAUGCCAUUGAACAAAUCAAAAAUGUCUUUAUACCAAAGCUGAGCUAUUUGAUAAUAUGCUGACUCUCUAACCGUCUUCAAUCUUUACGAGUCCUCGAGCUCUAGGAGAGACAGGGAAAAGAGAGGGGUAAGCAUUUUCAUGCUUAGUAAGCUCGAAUAACUGGAAAGUAAACUUACCAAGUAAUUAGCAUGCAAUCAAAUUGGGUAAUAAAUUCAAUGAGCAUAGGAUGGCUUCCCUGUAGCACCCCAAACCCGGCCUAGACGUUAUGGUCGGAUCCGACAUGCCACAUCGAAGCAUUCAAAACAUUUUAUAUUAUUGGUCCAGAAAAUCUUAUUUAGUGUUUUAAAAGAUAAUUUUAUUAUAGGUUAAAGUGAAUGGAAGCUAUGCACCAGGUAGGAAACCGAAAAAGAGGUGGUGAGUCCAUCGGACUGCGUAAGUACCAAGAUCCCUUCGGAUCCAAUCCUAGACAUGCAUACUGCCAUUGUCACACCUUAACGUCAUGGAUAUUUCUAGGAAACCGAUUUGAUUAAGUCAUUUUUAGGAAAAGUGAUUAAUUUUGGAAAACACUUUCAUUGCGGAAGCUUUAUUUGUUGUCGUGUUAUUUUGAAAUCAAUUGUUGUUUUUGAAAACGCACCCUAAAGCUAUCCAAUUUCAACAGUUAAAAUAAGUAAUACCUAUCUUAGUAAUACAUAUUAAAACCAUCAAAAAUAAUUAAGUGGCCUUAUUACAUUUAAAAACCCAAAACUUCAAACGUAAAUAACAGGAUAUCCAUUUCACCGGAAGAAAAUCAAACUUUCAGAAUGGGUGGCCACUCCAAAUUCCCUCACAACUCUAAGCCCACUAUGGUUGGGGAUUUCCUGCGUGGAUGAAAAUAAAAAGGGUGAGUUUGGGGAAACUCAGUGUAUAAGGAAAACCCAUUCAAAGCCCAAGUCAGCUCAAGCCAUUGGGCCUAAGCCCAUUCAGGUAACAGUGGUACUGGGCCAGAGCCCUUUUCAGAUUACAAUAAACUGGGCCUUAGCCCCUUAUUCAGAUAACAGUAUGGCCCAUAGGCCCAUUUCAAAAUACAUGCAACAUCAAUAACAUAUGCAAGCCCAUUUGGGGAGACUACUCAACCCACCAACCACUACACUCCACCCGUACCAGUCAUACACUCCAUGUGGGGAAUAGCUCAACCCACCCAGCCCAACACUCCACAGUUGCAGCCUUGCUGCUCAGUUAACAGUAAAUUGAGGCAAAGCCUCCAGUACGUGGACAAGCCACUUUCAGUACUUCCUCCGUCAAUAUCCCAGUCCCAUGCAUCAGAUAAUAACAACAUGGCAUGCAGUAAAUAACAACAGUCAAACAUGCAUUUAGGUCAAUUUAACCCUAGCGGUAUUUCGAUAAUUUAUCUCCUAGGGAUAAAACUGUAAAUUUUCCACUUUUAAAGGUAUUUCAGUAAUUUAUCUAUUUUAGGGUUUUUCAUGCAUAUUCCUACCUUUCACGUACUAACAGAAUCACGUACCGAGGGUUCUUACCGAAUUGGGCCCGUUGGUCAAUCAUUCCAAUUUUGGCCCAUUAAGCCCAAAAAUAUCGAGGGCACAAAAAUCAUGCACUUUGCAGUCCAAACACUGCAGCUUACCAAAAACAUUAAUCGAUUUACCUCACGAGCAUUCGCACACUCGCAAAUCUACAAAAUAUCGAUUUUUGACAUUUCGGCUUUUUGGCUUUUGCCGAUCUAGACUAAGAAAGAGGGUGUUAGUUACACACCUGUUUGCGACGAUAUGCUGACGAGAUCCACACACGAACUGCCUACAAUUGGAUUACUAACACGUUAAUCUAACUAUUCAAAUACAAACUACGUAUUAACCCCUUACAAUAUUCGGCCAACCACACCUACAAAUCAUAGUAAGCUUAUAAGAAAUCAAUAAGCAACUCAUUAACAAAUUUUUAUCAAUGUUUACCACAUAAUCAUAAUUUCACUGCAAGCUAUCUUCCUGAGCAAUAGUCACUAAAUUAUUUAUAACUGGAGCUACGAAACUCCAAAUCAAGUGCCAUUAAUUUUCCAUGAAAAUAGACUCAUAUAUCUUCUAUCCAUAAAAUUUCAGAAUUUUUUGGUCUAGCCAAUCAAUACCAGAUUUUUCUCAAAGUUUCCCAUGUUUCACUAUUUGACUAAUCUGACCACUCUUCAUUACGAAUCAAAUUUCUCAUUGUACAGAAUUUAAAAUAUGUUCUUGUUUAUUUCAUUAGAACCUAGACUCAAUAAGCUUUAAUUACAUAAUUUAUUCAGCUUCAAAUUCAUCUCCCACAAUUUAUGGUGAGUUUCCAAAGUCACAUUACUGCUGCUGUCCCAAGCAGAUUUAUUACCAAAUCACUCUUUCACACAUACCUUGCAUGCAUGUUAUUUAAACAUGUAUAUCACCAAUCAAUCAUCACAUAUCUAUGAUUUUACUUAAGAAUAAUCUCCAUUUCAUCAUUUUAAAGCACAACAUGUUAGCUGAUUUUUCCCUUUAACAUCUAAGGCACAUGCAUGCUCAUUUGUUUGGCUCAACUUCACCUAUCUUCCAUUUUUUUCAUCAAAAGAACAUGAAAAAACAACCAUUUCCUUAAUUUUAAUUCAUGACUAAAUGCUCACAACACAACUAAAAACCAAAAUAUGCUUCAAGAGUUAAGGUAGAAUCAAGAAGAACUCAUGAACAUCAAGAUAGAAGCCAACUACCAUGAACUUACCUUCAAUUUUCUUCCCCAAGUGACCGAACACUCAAGAGCUUUCUCCUCUCCUUUCUCUUCUCUAACUUUCAGCUAUGAUGAACAAAGAUGGACAAGACUUUGUUCUUUUCACCCCUUUUUCUUUUAAUAAAACUUCAUAUUUCAUCCAUUUAAUUCUUUAAUACAAAAGACAUGAAAUUCUUAUCAUGAAACAUUUACCUAACCCAUUAUCAUGAAACAUUUACCUAACCCAUUAUCAUGGAACAUUUACCUAACCUAUUAUCAAUUUAUAUCAAUUUGUACCAUAAAUUAUGGAUAUCAAGUGUACAUUUUGUCUACAACAACAUGAUGGCUGGCCACUUCAUGUAAAAUGGGAGGUUUGUCAUGCAAAUCCUCCUAUUUUGCACUCCUAUUUAUUUGGUCACUUCAAUUUAGCCUAUAGCAUUUUCAAACAUUUUCACAUAGGUCCUAUUUCAUAAUUUCACUCACAAAUGACAAAAAUUAAGCAUGAAAUUUUGCCAACAUUCACAGAAUUCCCGAAAAUUGGGGCGUUACAUUCCCUAUCACAUACACUCAAUCAAUGAGUUAGUCACAUAACAAUGUAUAAUGAAAGUUAUCUUAGAUGAGCUCAUCAUUCAACAUCUCAUUUUGUACAUAUAAGUCAUGUUAAUCUUGUUGAGUUUCUAGAAAGUCUCGAUAGAAUACUUAUUAACCGUCAAUUCGUAUGAAUUAUCAUUUCCAGUAUGCACUUCCGCGAACAUCACAUCUCAUGGCAGGAUUACCAGUCCAGGCUAAAUCCCCCAUUUUAUGAACUCAUAAGGUGAUGUCAAGAUUACAAGUCCAGGCUAAAUCCCUUAUAACAACAAACACCUUUAUUGAGCUUGGAUCUGAAUUACCAGUUCAGGCUAAAUUCAGAUCCUAAUCGGAUUACCCGUCUGGACUAAAUCCAUAAUGCACACAUAUUCUUCGGGAGGCUUGACCAUUUAAAGGAACACCCGUCCGGGCUAGAUCCUUUUAUAAAUGACAUCAACGGAUUACUCGUCUGGGCUAAAUCCUUACUGCAACACAUGCAGGACUUCAUUACACAUGUCAAUCAUGGUUUAUCCAUCGAAUUCCCUUUUUAACCUCAACCGAGACAUUUAUCACAAUUCAUACUUAAACAUACAUUUCAUAAAAUUUCAUGUUAUUAAUAAAUGCAAUCAUCAUGCAUUCAUAAAUCAUAUAAUUAGGCACAUUGAGUGUUUACUUUAAGUUAUCCGAACUUACCUGGUAUUCAUUUUGGUGUCGUGUUUUGGUUAUUUCGAAACCUUUCGUUUUCCUCGAUCGACCUCCAGAAUUUGUUCCUCUAGGUCUAUAACAAUAAAAAUAGAUCAUAAACACUCUAAAUUAUAUAUUUCAAGUCUAAAUUCCACCCCCGAUCCAAAUGACCGUUUUGCGCCUAACCUUUCACAUUUUUACAAUUUAGUCCCUAGGCUCGUAUAAUGAAAGGCAUGCAAUUUCUACCUUACUCAAGCCUAGCCGAACACUUUUCCCUCUUAUGGUAGCCCACAUUUUUCAUUAUUUCCACAUUCCUGCCACACAUUUUACAACUUUUGCAAAAAGGUCCCUUUAGGGGUUUUUCAUGAAAAUCACCUAGAAAAAGUUGUUUAACACACAUCAAACUUUCAUAUUCCUCCAUAAAACAUCAAAAUACUAGUAACUUAUGCAUGGGUAAAUUUUUAAACAUGAACCCUAGCAUGAAAUAUUGGUAGAAAUGGAGAGAGUAAGCUACCGAAAUCUCAAAAUUAAGAAGAACAUUAAAAACGGGGCUUGAGAACACUUACUAAUGAGCUUGAAAAGCUUGGAAACCCUAGUUAUGGUGGCUUGGAGAUUACGGCUGGACAAGGGAGAAAAAUGGUUAAUUUUUUCCUUCUUUUCCCAUUUUAUUUCAUUAAUAUGCCACAUGACCAAAAUGCCCUUAAGCCCUUUCUUUGAAAUUUCAUCAAUGCAAGCCCAUUUUUGUCCAAAAACUUAGAAAUUAGAAAAAUUUCUCCCCAAGACCUUCUAUUUUAUAAUCUAAAGCAAUUUCAUACAAAUUGCUUCUAGAAUCCAAGUUUUGCAAUUUAUUCAAUUUAGUCCCUAAUUUUCCAAUUGGGCACUUACUCAAAGAAUUCCUUCAUGAAACUUUAACACAUGUAUAUUCUCAUAUUCUAAGCCUCGUAAUAAUUAUAAAAUAAAUAUUUUGAUGUCGUAUUUGUAGUCUCGAAACCACUAUUCCGAUUAGGCCCUAUUUUGGGGUGUUACAUAAUUUACCAACUCCAAUGUCUUUGGGAAAAAUUUUAUUGCACAAGACUAUUAUAUCUUCCUCACUCAUAUGACCUAGUUGCAUGUGCCAAAGUUUUGUUGAGUCGGAAUCGAUGAAGAAAGAGUCACGUCGUGUCGCCGUGACGUGGUGGGAAUUUCGACUUUUCUUCAGUAAUCGCAGCCACACCAGUAAUUGUUGACCCUUGCAAAACGUAUAGGCUGCCCUUUUCCUCUCCCCUCAUCAUAAAAGAGCCUCAGAGAAACUUUUAAGUCAUUUGACUCAAUGACUAUCCUGCAACCAUUAGAAUCCAAAAUUCCCAAUGAGAUAAGAUUUUUCUUUAAAUCAGGAACAUACCUGACAUAUGAAAGUGUUUGAAUAAUCCUGUCAUGCAUCUUAAUUUGUAUCGUUCCAAUUCCGAAUAUUUUACAUGGGAGAGUUAUUCCCGAUCAGCACAACUCCACCUUCAACUUAACUAUAUGUAGAGAACCAGUCCCUGUUGGGAUACAUGUGACAGGAGUACUCUGAAUCUAAGUUCCAUUCAGAAGUAAGAUGAUAGCUUUUGCUCGUUGACACCAACAAGAAAUUAUCACAUUUAUCCUCAACUACACUAGCAUCAACAACGUCGGCUUUUUGCUUAUCUUUCUUAUCGUUUUCAUCAUCAUUUUUUAUAUUAUUUUGAAAUUUCCAACAUUCUGCCUUAACAUGGCCCGCCUUUUUACAAUAACCACAAUAUUUGUGAUGAUUUCUGGAGUUGGACCUUGCUUUAGACCUAUUUUGAUCUGUCUUUCUGGUUUGUCAUUUGCCUCUUGCAACUAGAACUGAGGUUUGCCCGUAUGAUUUUUUGUUUGGGCUUAACUCAUUAUUGAGUUUAUCCUUACUCAGAAGAUUCCCCUUCACAUCCUCGAACGAGUGAUGGUAUCUCCCAUAAAUCAAAGUUUCCCUGAAAGUUUUAUAAGAAAAAGGCAAAGAGCAUAACAAUAACAUAGCUUGAUCCUUAUCACUAAUAUUUGCUUCGAGAUUCUAUAAGUCUUUAAAAAGGGUAACAAACUCGCUAAUAUGAGUUUUGAUGGACUCACCUUUAGCCAUUCUGAACAUGUAGAAAUGUUGUUUUAAUACUAACCUGUUGGCUAGAGAUUUUGUCAUAUAUAAGGUUUCUAGUUUCUUCCAUAACAUAAACGAUGUUUUCUCCUUCAAAACCUUCUAUAACACAUUAUUCGUGAGAUAUAAUUGAAUAAUGGAUAGAGUCUUUUCAUCGAGCUCUUCCCAUUCUGACUGAUCCAUAUCUACGAGCUUUUUCCCUGUAAUGACCUUUUUCAGACCGUUCUAAACCAAUAUUGUUGUCAUUCAAACUUUCCACAAACUAAAAUUUACAAUUCUUCAAACUUCUCAAUAUCAAACCUUGACGUUGCCAUCUCUAAACGGGUUGACUGUAAAAAUUAAACUAGCUCUGAUACCAUUUUGUGGGGGAAAAACCCAUUAAGCAAUGAAUAAAGUAAAUAAAAUAAGAAUCGAAAAGAUCGAACAUGUAAAUUUUGCAUGGAAAACUCCUCAAGAGAGGAUAAAAACCACGGGAAAAAACAAAUUUCACUAUAAUAAAGGAGAGUACAAAAGAUGGAGGAGAGAAUUAAAAGAAAACCCGAAGCCCUUCAAGAAAAACCCUUCAAAACAAAGAAUAAAAUUCUCUCAAUCUAAAUAAAUUUUUGUUAUGUAAAACCUAGAGUAACUAAGGACUAUUUAUAGUUGAAAUUUGUAGCAUAUAUGACUACAACAAUUAGAGUUUAAGUGGGAAAGUAGAAACAAAGUUUAACUAGGAGAAAAAUAAAUUUUGGUCAAAAUAAGAGGCAUUCUUCCACACCUUUCCAAAUAAUACCUUAAGAGAGUGUCACAAAGUUACCCAAUGGAAUAGCAAGAUACAAAAGCUUAAGAUACUCCAAAACAGCAAACAAAGUGAGACCACACUAUUGCCUAUUUAUAGGCGUCUACAAGUGAUUAUAAGAUAGUGUUUUGAUAAGCUUUAAACUCUCCUUUAAAAGUUGAAAUUAUCAAAUUAAUUAUCUUGAAUAUUUAUCACAUAAAAGACUUUAUAACCAAGUUUUCCAAUAGCUUCAAACACUCUAAAAGGUAAGGAUAAGGAUAAGUGCCCAAAUUUCGAACUCCUCUCCUUCCUAGGCUAAUCAAAUGGAUGAUAAUCAUAUUCCAAUUUACCAAGAAAUUCUCUUAUCAUUUGUUGUUAACUAAUAUUAGAACAUAAGCCAUUAAAAGUCAAACAUGCCAACACCCAAAAAUGUUGAUUGCUCCAAAAAGCUUGUUUUAAUUGUUGUUCAAACAAGUCAGUACAAUUUCCAACAAAAAUUAAUAAUAACUAAAAAAUAUUAAAAAAUAAAAAAAUAUAUUUAAUAAAUGAAAAAUCAAAUAAAACCUAAUAAAAAGCUCAACCUUUUGUUAAAAAAAAUCAAAUAACUGAUAGUGUCUAGGAGAUGAGGAGUUAUACAUUUAAAUAUAUUGUAUUAUAUUAUUAUGUCGUAUAUUAAAUUAACAUUUAUAAUCUUUUUUUUUAAGGAAACCGUUAGUCUCAUAUUUUCGUCUUCUGUUUUUUUUUUCCGGUUAACAACAAAACUAGAAAAUACUGCACUUACACAUGUAUAUAUGUUGACCAUAUCUAAGAAAUAUGUUACUGAAUCAUGUGAAAUUCAUUCCCUUGAGCCAAGAAAAAGGAACGUAAAAUCAUGUGAGUUCACGUGGCAAUUAGGUAGAAAUUAGACAACUUGUCUAUGCUUCAAUCAUUAUGAGGCAAACCAAGACAAGUUCAACUUUUUUUUUAUCCUCUCACUGUGAAACCUUUUGCAGGAAGACUUAGGAACAAUAGCUAAGCCUAAAUCCUGCUAGAAUCACAACAUAUUGUUUUGUUUAUUAAAAAAAAAAGAUGAUAUUGGUCUUUGAUAUGUAAAAUUGAUCUAUACAUGCAUUGAUGUUGAGCAAUUUUUGUUUGAGGAGUUAACCGCUACAUUAUAUAGAAGUAAUUAACGUCUUGGGGAUUUUUUAUGCAAAAAAAUAUAUACAUAAAUUUAUAUGAAAAAUACAUGGUUAAAAAAAUUUGUAAAUAAAGCCUUGACAUGGUAGGUAAAAGUGGAAGCUAUAGGCUUUGAGUAACCAUAUUCAAGACCCACCGUACACAGUUGAAUGUAUGGGUUUUAAAGUCCUAUUAUUAAUUGUUAUGUGUUGGUUUUAGUUUGAUUAAUUAUAUUAUAACUUACAUUGUUUCUGUUUAUAAUUUAUAUUUUAUGUAAUAGAUUGAUUUUUUGUCUUAAUUUUUAGUCUAUUUAAAUGAUAUAAUUGUUUAAUUCUACACUUAAUAGUUACUUUGACCUAUAUUUAUAUUUUAAUUUUUCUGUAUUUUUAAACUUUAAAAAAACAUAUAUUUAUAUAUAGAAAGUUUAUGAAUAAAAUUUCUUUUUUCGAAAAACAAUAGAAAGCAUACGCAUUUAAUAUUUGGCAAAAAUAAAGUGAGUAAUGAAAGAUUGAAUUAAGGCAAACUAUAUUUGAUAGCAUCUUUGAUUGGUAAAGCCACCAAUAUCAGAAAACCGGAAACACUAAGACUAAUACGAUGCAUUAAUCAGCGGAGUAGUUCAGCAUUAGUGAUGAAGAUGAAAGUGGUAGAUACAAACCUUUUUCAAAGCAUUAAACACACUCAACCAUAAGCUGAAACAUGAAAAAGAAAGAAAGAAACCUUGGCAUUGAAUUGGGCCAACUACCAACGCCUAACCAUAUACUAUUCGUACGUGUUUCUCAGUUCUUUUGAUAUCCCUUCACUCAACUUUUGGCUAUAAAAACCCUCCUACGCUCAAGCCCUAACCACGACAAUCAGCUAUAGUACUUCUACUCCAAGCAAGCAUUUUCCUUUUCUUGUGAUUAAUCGAUAUGGCUAGCUCAAUGUCCCUUAAGCUUGCAUGUGUGGUGGUGUUGUGCAUGGUGGUGGGUGCACCCCUGGCUCAAGGGGCCGUAACCUGUGGUCAAGUCACAAGCUCCCUCGCACCCUGCAUUAAUUACUUGAGAGGGACUGGUGCUGGUGCUAUUCCCCCAGGUUGCUGCAGCGGCAUCAAAUCUCUCAACUCCGCCGCCCAAACAACACCAGACCGGCAAGCAGCUUGCAAAUGCAUCAAAAGUGCGGCCGCCGGCAUUCCUGGCAUCAACUUUGGCCUUGCAAGCGGACUACCAGGCAAGUGCGGUGUCAACAUCCCUUACAAGAUCAGCCCUAGCACUGACUGCAGCAGGUUCGUAUGAGUUGUUUCAUUGCUUAUGCUUAUUAAUUGCUCAACAUUUAAUGGUGUGUCUUUUGUUGUUUCAUUUGCAGCGUCAAGUGAAAUUUUGGCAUGGAAUGUUCAUCAGCUAGUGGAAGCCAAAAUAAUGAUAGCUACAGAAUAAAAAUGGAUGUUUAAAAUCCAUCCGUAGGGAUAGCAGAGGAGUUAUCCUAAUUUUAGAGUUGUGCGUUGUGUACUAGGUCGGUUUUUGCGACUAUGUAAUACUAUCUUUAUCUACAAAUUAAUAUCACUCAUUAUUUUGUGUUUCUUCUAUAUGAUAUUUAUCUAUAUACCCUUCUCUCAAGCAUUUUAUAUCAACAUUCACGUGGUCUAAUAAUAAUGAAAAUCAUGAUUACUCAACCCUAAGUUUAAUUAAAUCAAUUUAUGCACCGGUUCUGUUCUUUAGUUGCAUGUACCGGAUGCAAUUCCCAUUGCAAUCUGUUUUGUAAUUGAAAGGUUAUACAACUUGCUAUAUAUAUCGACAUAUUUUUAAUUGAAAAAUUUUGGGCUCAUUCUUAAUUUACUUUAAAUCUUUAAAGUGGACUACUCCUUUGGAGACAUUUCUUUUUAAAUGAAAAUAUUAGAAAUACAAUUAAGAGAGAUUAUUCAUCUGAUCAUGUUGAAACACGGAUCAAAGUUCAAAGUUCAUGAUCAUUACGCACAAAACGUUUUAUGAAGAUUAACUGAUUAAACGAGAUUAUUAUUUGAUCCACUUGAACUUGCCUGACUCGUGGAACACAUGGAAAAGUCUAUCUACUUAAACCUUUGGAGGUUCAGUGAAACUCUCCAGUAAAAUUAGAGUUACCAGAGUAAUUAAUGUAAAGCCUAAGGGAUAAAAAUGUAUAGAGUUUAAAUCUCAUAGGACUCUCAUCUUAUAAAUAAGUACUAAUAUCAGUCGUCGAUAUAAUUUAAUCUGUAUCAUUGGAUCUAGGGGAGCUCAACUAUAAAUAGAGACCUCCUUCAUUUGUAAUCAUCUCAUUGUACUCAUGAACAAAGCCAAAAAUAUUUUUUUGGGAUAGAAUUAAAUUAUAUAUUUUUACAAUAGUAAAAAUACAAUUUCACUAAUUUAAUAGUUAUCUUUAUAAUUUUUAAAGAAUUAAAUCAAAUUUUUAUGAUGGGGAAAGUGAAAUUUUACCAUUAUUAAUUUUAAAUUUUAUAAAUUAUAAAGGGAUAUAAAUGAAAUUUUUUCUAUUUUAGAAGGGAGGUCCCUACCAGCCCUCUUAGUUUCACCACUAAUUGUACUUCAUUCCUUCUUGAGUUAAAGAAUUUAUUAAGAGUAUUUACUCAAACACCUUGUAUACAUCGUUUUCUUAUAUCUUUUCAAUUCUCUUAUUGCUCUUUCAUUUUAAGUUACUUCCACAAUAUUUUUUGCUAACAUAGAGAAUUUUUAGGAAAAUUAUCACUUUUCGAGGGUUAGGUUGACUUAGGCAAAUUUAACGAAAAGAAAUCACUUAAAACCACACGAUUUAUUUAAAUUCUAAUCCCAUAACAGUAAAGUUUUGAUAUUUGAGUAACUCAACAUUUAUGUUUCAUGAAAAUAAAAAUAAUGAGAUUCACUCCUUACAAUAAAAUUUCUAUGUUGCACCUAAUUUACCAUUCACAAUAUGAUACUCAUAAUUAAGAUUAAUACAAUACAUGGGUUUGUCAUAAUGUAAUCUGAAAUAAGAAAGUAACAUUUUUUAAAUAAAUAUAAUUAGAAUCUAUUUUAUUAGUUCUGAAUUUUCAAAGUUUAUAUUAGUUUAAAACGGUUUUAAUAAUUCUUAGUUACAUAUCGCUGAUUAAACUUUUAAAUUUAAAUUCAACCGAUUCAUCUAAUAUAAUUCUAACAACAUUAAUAUAUAAUUUUUGUAUUUUUAUAAACACAUAAUUCUAAAUAUAUAAAUUCUUAAGUUGGUGAAUUGUUUAUUUUACACUAAUUUUAUAAUAAACUAUAUGCUAAUGAGAUAAUUUAUUUUACUAAAUUAUCAUUAAUGCUCCCUGAUUAGGAAUGUGCAUACAAAUUUGAAUAUCGCUGAAGAGAUAGCGAUUGUUUGUAAUAGAGAUUUAUCGUAUAAGUCUCAUCAUAAUUUCAUUAUCUUAGAAUCUAAACACAUUUUAUACAAAAAUGUUAUUUUAAAAUUAAGUGAUGUUUUGGUUGAAAUAAUUAAGUCAAAAUUUUAAACUUAAGUUUCAAUUUUAUUAUAGUAUUUUUUUAUUUAAAAAUAUGAAAAGGCAAAAAAUACUCUCUUAUUAAUAUUUUUUUUUAUUUUAUAUUAAAACUAUUUAGUAAAUUCUCAAUAGAGUUAGUAGCCGGUUGACUCGUGACACCAACUCAACUAAGGCUUAAUAUAAGUAUAAAUAGAUGAGUAAAUUUAGAAUAAUUAUUGUUAAUGUAACUGUAAAAAUUUACCAUUACAGUGUAAUGGAUUUUAAAGGGUUGAUUCUAAAAUCUGACUCUAAAUUUUUCAUCGAGCUUUGCUCUAACAACACACUUAGACGAUGGGAUCUCUCCAACAUUCUCGGUGAAAUUAAUUUUUUUGCUACAAGUAACCAACGAGGAAAGGGUGGAGGAGAAGAGUCUCGAUUCACCUAUGAUAGGAUGAGUUAAGGAGGGAGAGAGCGAGAGAGCUACAGUUGUUGUCUAGGUUUUCAGGGGAGAAAGAGUCGAUGCUUGGUUCCUCAUGCACCAGAGCUUACAUAGGGGAUCACCCAUUGUCCUGUAGUGUCGCGUAACUGACAAUGUUGUGUCCUACAAGAUUGUGCGUGCCAGCCAAGUGACAAGGCCGUCAUAGGUCAAUUGUCAUUAUAUAGUGUAUUGUGUGAUCCUACUCUAACAUUCUUGUCUUUGGGGUUGUACGAGACUAUUACGCUUUAGUGGUCCUCACGGAACUGCGUAACGAGCUAUCUCUAGGUAGUUUAGAUAGGGUUCAUGGGAGGUCAUUUGUGAGCAAUCCUAAGCGAAGGAUCGCUACGAAAGGUUCUUAACGAAGAGUCAUACGCAAACUGCUUCCAAUGGAGAGUUGUUUGCAUAUUGCUUCAUGUCUUGCCACGUAUUGAGAUGGAAAUAUAACAAUAACAUUAAAUUUUUUUCACAUGGACUCAGAGAAGCUAAUACAAUCCCAGACGCACUAGUUAAAAUUGGCACCCAUAGGAGUCAUUUAUUUCAUGUAUUUUGGGAUAAAUUUUUGGUGUUGUUGUAUGUGUUUCUUUAUAGCAGUGGUAUGCUAGUACAGCACUUGAACAUGCCUUGCACGGAUACUUUUUAUGAAACUGUAAGUCGACUAAUAAAAACGAAGUUAUGAAUAAACUGUACAUCUAUCUACCCACCUUCUUCCCUACCAUUUAUCCCCCGCCUUACUUUGGAAAAGAUUUAGGAGGGUUUCAGAUUUUACAUUUUAAAUUUUAGAUUUAUAUUUCAAAAUCCAUAAUCAUUUUUUAAAUUUGUGGAUCUACUCUAUUUAGUUGGAAUUUUAAUAAAUCUAGAAAUUUAAUAUAUUUAUGCUAAUAUACGCAUUACAUUCAUUUAAUUUAAAUAUAAAAUGACAUUAAAAUAUACAUGAUCUGAAACAUAUUAUUAUUAGACUUUUAGUCCCACCAUUUGCAAAUGUUAUUUGUGAGUUUAAAUCUCAUCAUGUAUUGGUUCUCUUCAAAAAAUUUUGAUUUAAAUCUAAAUAUAUUUAUGUUAUCAGUUAGUUAUGCUUUGUACUAUAUAUAUUCUAUUUUUAAUUGAUCAAAUAUAUAUUAUUUUUUAUUGCACUAGUAAACUAUUUAAAGAAAAUGUUAUUAUUAUUAUUUCCUUGGCUUUUCUUUUAUUUAUUUGGAACAUUAAAAAAUGAAAGGCUUUUCUUUAACUCCAUAUUCGUAUAACUUUUUUUUUAAAUAUUAUAACUAAUUUUAUAAUGCACACAAAAAUAGACAAAGAAUUUAUAAUUUUUUUUUAAGAAGACAGAAUUUAUAUUUAAUAUAAAAUCAAUCCUCGUUGAAUAGGAUUGCUUAUUACGACACACCUGUAAGCUCAUUAAAAUCAAUUUGGGGUUAGUAGAGAUAUAAAUCAUAUCAUUAAUUAUUUUUUUAUAUUGAGUCGGUGUGAUUUAUGUAAUUUAUUAUUCUAAUUCAUUUUAGGGAAUUUUUUAUGUAUAAAUCUUGUGUUGAAAUCAUAUAAUUUAUCUUACAAUUAUGAAUUUAUCUUUUGACGCGUCGAAAAUUAUUUAUUUGAAGGUUUUAUUAAAAAAUAUUAUUUAUAUUAUUUAAUAUUAUCGUCAAUAACUUUUUAUCCAGUGACUAGAAUAUUAUGAUAUAAAUAUUAGAGUUUAGGUUUGAUGACAAAUAAUUUUAUUCUCCACCCUUAAUUAUCCAAUAUAUAUAUAUUUCAUAUUACUUAAUUUUUUUAAAGUCAAAUUUUAUUAAAGAAUGAAUAUGAAAAAAUUAAAAAUAUUUCUUUUCUAAAAUAAUUUGACAAGCAAUAAAGCAUAAAAAAAAUUCCAUAAACAAUAAUUUCGAAUAAUAAAUUAUAAACUUUUGAUAAAGAUGUACUCAAAUAUCUUAAUAACUAAUAAUAAAAUAUGUAUAUAUUUUUUAAUUUCAUGUUUAAUUUAAAAUUUUUAAAAUAUUUCUUCAUAUUACAAAUGUAAUUUGUCUCCCUUUUUUACAAUAGUUGGAUCACUCUUCAUAAUAUACACAAUAAUAUAUUAUAAAGCAAUUUAUAAACAAUAAUAUAUUAUUUAUAAAAUCUUUUAAAAAUUAAAAAUUAAUUCACACGAUGAAUCUGUGCAUCUAAACAUAUCAACUACUUAAUAAUAUAUUUUGCAUACAAUUUGAUAAUAGUCCAAUUUGAAAAAAUAUAUAUUUUUGUGCUUUCUCAUAAAAUUCUUAAAUAACCCAUAAAAAGAUAUUAUAUGUUUUAAGUGCAUCUGAAUUUUUUCAACUUUAGAGUUAUUACAAAAGCAACAAAACCAAUUAAAUUAAUAUUUGGUUGGUUAAAGUUUAGGCGUUAAUAACUUAUUUUAUAUAGAUAUAAAAACAUUCAUACAUUCGUAUAGUGUUCAUAAUAUUUUUAUGCCAUUUAAUGUAUGAAUUGAUUUUCCAUAUCUUCUUUGUAUUGUUAAUUUUAACACUAUAUUUUUUUACAAAAAUUUAAAUUUUUAUACAUAUAUAAUAUUAAUAUAAAAUUUAAUUUAAUUUUCAAAAAGCUUUGAGCCAACAUAUUCAAAUUAGUCAACAACCUAACAAAACAAGUGGUUGAGGUUGCUUGUUGGCGCUGAUAUAGAUCCGACUAAUGUCAUUCACUACGAAAAUAAUGGAAAAGGCCACCUGUGGGGCCAACUAGGUAGAUAUAUUAUGAAUUGAAUGACAUGUGGCUGGUUGUAAUACCUCAUUGCAUUCAUUGCUUCAUUCACCCCCUAUUGAAAGUGAUAGAUUUUUUCUUUUAGGGAGAUUUAACUUACAAAUUCAUACUCUCUUUUUUUUUUUAUCAUAAGAGGUGUUUAAACUGUUUUUUUUUAAGUUUGGUAUUUCGGUUUAAUCAAAUUAUUAAGUUAAAAAAAUUUUAACCCAUUAAUUAGUAUCUAAGCUACAUAUUUUUUUCAAAUUGAUACCUAAACAUUUUUUUAUCCUACGUGGUACUUAAAUUAUUCUUUCAUUUUCCAUUUAAUACCAAAAUAUUAUAUUCAUUAAAAAAAUCUAAUCAAUAAUAGAUUGACAUGUAAAAUUUUAAAAAAAUAAUUAAUUCUUCUCUUCUCUUCUCUUUUUUUUUCAAUUAUUUCCCUCAUUUUAACUUUUUAUUUUUUUUUUCUUUCUUCUUCCUUUAUAAUGUCUAACAAUGACAACAAAUGCAAUGCUCAAAAUUCGCCCUCGUGAGGUUAAGACUAUGGAAAUUAAUUUUCUUUUCGAACUAUAUCGCUUGUAUGUUAGACCUGACGAGAUCGUAAAAAUUCUUUCAUUGAUCAAAACCAAUUUUUUUUCAGAAUCAGGCUAACAGGUCAUACUUUUGUAGGGGUGAGCGUCUAAUCGAAUCAAAUAGAAAAAUUUCGAUUUAAUCAAGUUGACGAGUCCUAUUUUAUCAUCUUAAAAUGAUUUAAAAUUUUAUCGAAUCGAAUCGAAUAUAUUUGUCUCCAGUUAAUUGAAAAAAAUUCUUUGGAUCCUUGUAGCCACUGUCACUCAUCAUAAUCAAAUUUGUCCAUCGUAAUCAAAUUUGUUAUUAACUUUCAUCCCUUCAUAAUUUAUUUAUUAAUCUUUUAUAUACGGGUUAGCUUCUUUGCUUGCUUAGUUGCUUCAAUUAUCUUUUAAUUCUUGUCACUGUGUAUUUUGAAAUUAAAAAAUAUAUUAAAUGUAAAAAAAUAUUUUUUUAAUAAAAUUUAUUUUAAAGAUAAAAUGUGAAAUUGGUACCAAUAGAAAGUUUUAACACAAAUAUUGUAUGACAUCACCAAUGAUACAAUUUUAACAGAAAUUGAUAAAGAUUCAACAUGAUUAAACAACUUAAUAAUAUAAAUAAUACAAAAUGUGAAAUUUAAUUUAUAAUAUAAAUAAUAGCCAUAAAUAAAAUUAUUACUAUUUAGGUCUAAGGAUUUUUUUUGGAGGAUUUUGAUUUUUGAUUUGGGGAUAAAGGGUGAGAAGUAAAAGUUUUGGGGGAAAAGUAGAAGGGUUUGGGACGGGGUAGGGGUGGGGGUGGGGUUGAGGCUGGGGGAAGGGGAAUAAAAGUUUCGAGGGUAAAGUUUGGAGGUUUGGGGUUGUAACACCCCAAACCCGGCCUAGAUGUUAGGACCAAGCCUGGAAAGCUACAACAAAUCAUUCCAAAAAAUGUCACUUUUAACUAAUUAAAGUUUAAUUGUCAGAAAAUGUUUAAAUAGUUGAACUAAUGUAGAAAUAUAAAUUUGCAAUCUGUAAUUCAAGAUAAACAACUAUAGUAUAAGUUUAAUUAAAGCGGAAAAUUACUAAGUAAGAAUGACUGAGCUCCCGCCACGGCGACCGGCCUAAGUCGAUGAGUUACCAAAAAUUCAGUCAACAGACAAAAUGAGUCGGUAAACACAACAUGUAAAUUAUAUUUUUAUUAAGCAAAACAACAGAACAUAUCUUCAGUUUUUCAAAAUUCGAACAGUUUUCAAAAUCAUAUACGGAAGCAGAACAGAAUAUGUCAGUUACACACCAUCUCCAUCCAACCCUACACACCAAAAAGGUAUGGAAUGCCCAUUCAUCCCUACACACCACAUAGUGACCAUAUGUCAUGUUCAAAAGGUUACAAACUAAAUUCUAGGACAGAAUGUGAAAGUCGCCAAAAUUAGAUACAUUUACGUGGCUUAGCCACCAAUCUUAGUAGAUUAUUUAACUGCCACAACUUCCUCCUUAUUCAAUCCCAACCCCAAUGCAGAUGCAAAGUUACAGAUACAGAUAUAAGCAUAGAUGUUACAGAUUCAGAUUAUACUCAGUUAACACAGAAUACAACUAUUCGCUAGUUUACAAUUCUAUGAUGUAUAUAAAAUAAUAGUUUAUACAGAAACAAAUUACUAGUCAAUGGGUUUUAUAACCCAAAUCGGAUCAUACAAACCCUAAGGUAAGCCUACGUUCGACUGGAACGACGUUUAUAGCCCUAACGAAAAAUUUGAAAUUUUGACCCAUACACUUGUGUGGAUUCACAUGUCUUGGAAGGCUGGCCUAUGUGGCACACGAUCUAUAACAUGGCCUGGCACACGACCAUGUGGCUCAAAAAAAUGAGUUACACAGUCUAGCACAUAGUCAAGCACACGUUCAUGUGACUCAAUUCAUAAAAUUUCCUUCAUAUGGCCUGGACACACGAACGUGUCCUAGCGCGUGUGACUCUAAUCCACAAAUAGUAAGUUACACGACCUAGACACAUGCCCACAUCCUUGGCUUGGUGACCCUAAUACACAAACAGUAAGUUACACGGCUAUAUGAUUAACAACCAUGUGUUCCAGUGUUCGCAAAUCAUAAAAAAAUGCGUUUUCUUUAAACACUUGAUGUAGUUUCGAUGUAGAAGCAACACACAAGAAUUUGGAACCUAAAACGACAAUUAAUUGACCAAUUAAACGACUAAUCAACUCAAAAUUCCAAAAUUAGCACUCAAAACUAACGUACGUCGAAAACUUCGAUGCAACCAACCAAAGCAGAAAUUUUCGCUUAUUGACAAGCGAGCAACAAUAGUUCAGACCUAAUUUCGCAGGAAAACAUUACUUUUGAAACCUUUUCCUAAAAGAAGAUCCAUUAGAACUAUUAACGAGAUUUUACAAUGAUUGGCAGUAAUAUCGAACCUCGACGAAACAGAAAAAGUCUAGCAAAAAAUAGGCAGAAAAAAACAACAGAAAUUACGAAAUAUCCUUGCAAUCAACGUAAAAAACCACACAGAUUUCCCAAUUAAGCACGAUAGCAAACUUACGGAAGCAAUCAAGCAAGAAAGGUGUAAUAGCCCAUUUUUAGUAAAAUCAGAACAGUGGUUUCGGGACCACAAAUCUAGAGUCAAAAAUAUAAUUUUAUUAUUAUUUUAUGGUCUACAUCAUGAUAUUAUUACAGUAUAAAAAUUUUGUUAAGAAAUUUUACCGUUUACAUGUUCAAUUUGAUAAAAAGGACUAAAUCGCGUAAAGUGCAAAAGUAGAGUUUUAAUAGCUAAAGGUAUUAAAUAGCUAUAUAAAUUUAAAUUAGAGGUCCUUAUAUGGUAAUAACCCAUAAAUGUGUUAGUGGAAUGUCAUGGCUUGGUAAACUUGUAAAUUGAAAUAAUUUUAAAGGUCAAAUAAAUAAUUAAGUAAAUAAAGGCAAAAUUUAGUAAAAUAAAGCCAAGUAUAAUCUUUUAUCCUCUUUAUUCAACCGAUUAGCUUAGAAAAAGAAGCCAUUUUUUCUCUUUAUGGUUCGGCAAGCUUGUUUCCAUCAAUUAGGUAUGUGUUUUGUCCCCCCCUUUUUUUAUAAUUUCUAUGUUUCUAGGAUCGUUGUAACUUAAUCUAGCUAGCCUGGGAAUUAAUUUGUGAAAAUGUUAAAGUAUUUGAGUUUUACUAUUGAUGAACAUGUUAGGGUUUUGAAGUUUAAUAGUAUAAAAUAAAUGGUUGUUGUUAGAUAAACAACCUUUUUAAAGGAAUUUUUUAUGAAAUUAUCAAUUAGGGAUUAAAUUAAAAAAUAUGAUAAAUUUGUGGUACAAUUUUGAAUUUGUGAAAUAUAUGGGCAGCUAUAAAUAUGUUUAUAGUUCGGCUAGGCUUGGGUUUGGAUAAAAUCGAAUGAAUUUCAUUUUUCGAGCCUACGGACUAAAUUACAAAGUAUUAAAAGUUACCAUUUUGCCAAAAAUGUAUGCUGGACUAAAUUAAAAAUGAAUUAUAUUGAAUUGAGUUAAAUUAAUUCGUAUAGAUCCGGUUAGACCUCGUAUGGAGUUCUAUUAGGGCAAAGGAAAAAUAUCAGAUUAGUCGCCUUCGUAUCUACGUACACUUGUCGAGGUAAGUUCAUGUAAUUAAAUUGUGUAAUUAUAUGCUUUGAUUGAAUUAGAUGUAUGUUAUUUGCAUUAUCAUCAUAAAUGAAUAUCGAUCGCAUAUCUGAUGACGUACGACGAUUACCGAGCCCCAUUUGAACCUUAAGAAUUAGUAGGAUAUAAAUAACAUGUCAUUAGGGUUAUCGAUUUCAGUUCUUAUGAGCUUACCGAUACUCAGCUCGUAUGAGCUUACUGUUAUUCAGCUCGGAGGAGCUUACUGUUUACAGCUCGUAUAAGCAUACAUGUACAUGAGUUGAUGAAUUACAGUUUAAUACACCUCGUGUGUACUACUACAUAUCCAAUAAUAAUCUAAAUGGUUCAACGUGCACUGUUCUGUUAUGAUAUUACAUGAGUUCAAUACGAACUAAUACAGGUAUUUACAUAAGAUAUAUGAAAAUGAUUUGUACAUGAUAUGUAGAUACAUGAUGUGAAAAUUAUAUGUACAUGGAAAUUUGAUAAUUGUUGAGCUCAUACAUGUUUCUUGAUAUUUAUAUGAAUUACAUGACUAAAAUGGUUGAUCAAGAUAUGUGUUUAGGCUUCUAUCCAAAUUGAGUUUGGAUAUGUUUUGUAUGCUUACCUUAAAUGUGACUAAAUGGUAAGUUAAAUUCUAUGUUAUACGAACUUACUAAGCUUAAAUGCUUACUCUGUGUUAUUUUUCGUGUUUUUAGUGAUUCAGAAGCUCGUUCGGGUUGGAAGCUUGUCGGAGCUAUAUCACACUAUCCAUUGGCUCUUUUGGUACACUCAAUUGUUUAAUUUCAGUUAUAAUGGCAUGUAUAUGUUAAUUUGGCCAAUGUUGGCUUAUAUGUGUUUUGUUGAGAUUAGCCAUUUGUUUGGUUUGUGUUAUAGAAUUUUAGAUAUGUUCAUAUUUUGCUUAUUAUAGUUGACGUGUAGUUUGGUUCAUGAUUGAAUAAAGAGUGGUAAAAAGGUAGCCUAAUGUGCAUUUCAUAUAUGUGUUUUGGAAUGUGAAGAAUUGAUCAUGAAUUAGUGUCUGGAUAUGUAAGGCAUAUAAGUUAAAUAUGUUAGUAUGUGAAAUACAAUUUGGCAUCAAAUGAUGUGUUUUGGAAGGCAAGUAAUUUGGUAAGAAAUGAUGUAAAUCUGCUUAAUAAACUUUGGAUGCAAAUAUGCAUAUAAGUGAGUUAAACAUUUGGAUAUAAUGAAUACAUGAAAAUUCUUAUUAUAAGUUGUCAUUUGAGGUGCCUAAGGGCAUAUUGGUUGUAUGUAAUAAUAUUACAUGUUUUAAGCUUGAUUUUGGCUGGUUUUGGAUGCCUAUUUAUGACUUGGUUAUAUGCAAAAUGUUGUGUUUAGGUUGGUACCAAGUUGGGUGAGAAAUGUGGCUUGGAAAAUGACCUAUUUUCAUACACAUGGGUAGAGACACGGGCGUGUGUCUCAACCGUGUAGGUGAUAUGGCCGUGUGUCCCCUGUAUCUUUUAAAGAAUGCAAGUUAGUAUGCUCACACGGCCUGGCACAUAGGCGUGUGGCUUGGCCGCGUAACCCAAGUCAGUGAGUUACACGGGCAUGGACACAGGCUGGGACACGGUCUUAUGUCCCUAUUUCGAAUACCCACACAACCUAAGACACGGGCGUGUCUUUUGGCCGUGUGAGUCACACAGCCUGGCCACACGGCCAUGUGACCCCUGCAGUUUUGAAAUUUUUAUAAGUUUCUGAAAACUUCUCUGAAUUUUUUAUUUAGUCCCGAAUUAUUUCUAAGGUGUAUUUUGGGUCUCGAGGACUUGUAUUAGGGACAAUAUGCAUUAUUAUGAUUGGUUUCUGACAUGAAUACUAUAUGUUAUGAAAUGUUUGAAUUUUCUGUCCAUUUAAAUUGUAAACUUCGGUAAUACUCCUAACCCUAUUCCAGCGACGGAUUCGAGUUAGGGAUGUUACAAAAGGAGAAAAAGAAAAAAUAAGGAAAAGAAUUGUAAGGAAGGAGAAGAACAAAAAAUAAAAAUAAAAAAACUAAAAAUAAGUUUUAAACAAAAACAAUUAUUAAAAUAAAAUUGAUUUCCCGAUAGCACACCAAAAUAUUUCCUUAUUUCUUAUGCAGAGACUCAAACAUGAGACCUUAGGUAAUAUAAAACUUAAUCAUUAAACCAGAUGACUCAUUCUUGACACAAAUUAAUGUAGACACAAACUUAAGUCAAACAUUCAAGAAUAAGAGUUGAAACAAAAGAAUAAUAAAAUUCUCUAAAAGUACGACUUGAACCCUCGAUCCAAAAACCAACACAUAUAACUUAACCACUGAAGCAGAUACUUGCUUAUAAAUAGACACUAAUAGUAACAAUUCAAAAUUUGGGGCGUUACAGGGGCAGACAAAGAGGAAAGAGUAAAUUUUUGGGGGAAAAGUAAAAAUGUUUGGGGUUUGGGUUUUGAGGUAAAAUGUAAAAUAUUAUAGUUUGGUAUUCGGCUUAAUCGAAUUAUUCGGGUUAUUUGAAUUCAAAAACUCAACUUGACUCGAACUUGAAAUUAAAAAAAAUCUAGUUGAUUUGAUUAAUUCGAUUAGAAUAAUUCAAAAUUCGAGCUUUUUUCAAUUUUUUCGAGUCUAUUCAAAUUUUGCUCACCCUUAAUACUGGGAACCAAUUAGGAUACUAGUUUGGAGAUAGGGCUUGAACCAAUUAACCUGCAAACUGAUACAGAUUUAUUGAGCCGAGCUAAAAAAAAACUAGUUGAACUAGUUUUCUCUAUUUUUUAUUUUUAUCUUUAUGAAUUUUUAAUAAUUGAUUUCAUCAAACUGGAUAAAUUGAUUAAACCAGUAACUAAUGAUCUAGCUAGUUUGAAUAUGGUAAUUUUUAAUUGGUUAUCAUUUUUUAAAUAGACUUAACGAUUUGAGUAAAAUUUAAACUAACAAAUGUAUCAAUUUGAGAAAAAAUAAAUUAAGUACCACAUGUGACAAAAAUGUUUAAGUAUCAAAAUAAAAAAAAUAUAAUUUAAAUACAAAUUUGUAGAUUAAGGUUUCUUUUAACAAACUUAACGGAUUAAGGAAAUUAUCAAUUUGAGAAAAAAAAUAAUUUCGAUAACAGUCGCUGGUGACAAAAAAGGAAUUAACUACCAAAAUGAGAGAAAAGGGAAAAGAUUGAUAUAAUGUGAAUUGAAUGACAUGUGGCUGGUUGUAAUACCCAACAAGCUUUAACAGGUGUCACUGAUUAAAAUUAUAUCAUAUGUAUUCUAUCAAAAAUAUAUUAUGUAAAAUUACAAUUUUUAAAUUUAAUAAAAAAAUAUAUUAAAAAUUUUAACUCCGGCCAAAACGUGAAAUAAAUCGUUUUUUAACAGUGUUUUGGAAAAAAAAAUUAGGGUUAAGUACCGAAAUGAUCACUAGAGUAUUACUUGUGUUUUAUUUUGAUUACUAAAUUUUUAAUUAUUUUUAUUUUAGUCACUAAACUAUAUGAAAUCAAAUAUUUUUGUCACUAAAUGUUAAUGACCGUUUGAAAAUUUUUCGAAAGUGUUGAAAUGUGUUAUUUUUUAUUUGUCUAAUAAAAAAUUUAAUCUUCUUUACACAUUCUAUCAAUUUGAUUCUAAAUAUAAAAAAUCAAUAAAUUUAACACCAAAUGUUUACAAAAUUUGUCACUUUAGUUCAAAUUCUAAAAAACAAAAUUAAUAAAUUUAGCUCUUAACAUUUACAAAAUGAAAAUUUUUAAUUUUUAAAAAUUUUGUAAAUUAAAAAGAAAAACAAGUGUAAUAAUUGUAAAAAUUAUUAACAAUUAAAAAAAUCCAUAAAGCCGUUAGCUACCUCAUAGUCAGUGCCAUUUAAAAACAUGCUUAGCCAUAAUAGUACAAGAAUUAAUGAAAAAGUAGAGUAAAAUUCAAAACAAUCAAUCUUAUCGAUAUACUUUUUCAAGGCUUUUAAUGUAAACUAAAAAUUCUUGUCCCAUCUUGUUCUUCUUCUUUUUUCUACAUUGGUUUAAAUUAUUAUUUGCUAUUAAGACAUUGUCAAUUUCAGUAUUUGUCUCAUUGCUUGAUCUUCACAAGAAAUUCUAGAAACAUAGUAUUGUGUUUUUGAGAAACCGUGAACCUUGUUUUGUUAAUCUAGGUUUACACCAAAUUUCAUUAUUGUACUCUACUUGUGAUUUAUUUGUGAUUCUUUUUUCAAUUUCUUGUAUUUGAAAAUAGAGUAUUAGUGAUUUUUUAGUACUGCUGCUAGUUAUGUAUGAAGUUGCUCAAAUUUAUGUGUUUAGCCAAAGGGUAGGGGAAUCAAUGCAUCCGCUACACUUACUUUCAAUGUUUCGCCUUGUCUUGGGGUUAAACUAAAGUUGAAGUCUCAUUUUAAAGUUGAGAGAUUAGAUCGUGGUGAUGAUAAUUAUUUCUUUUUUUUUUUUAAGUUUAUUUAGGUUUGUGUGUUGAGUUUUUUAAAAAAAAAUUUACAAACUUUUAAAAAUCAAAUCUUGUCAUUUUGUAAAUGUUGAUAGUUAAAUUUAUUGAAUUCUUUUAGAAUUUGAAUUAAAAUGAAAAAUUUUGUAAACAUUGAGGGCUAAUUUUGUUGAAUUUUUUUAUAUUGAAGACCAAAUUGAUAGAAUAUAUAAAUAUUAAAAAACUAAAUUUAUUAUUAGACCAAUAAAAAAAAACCAAUUCCACACUUCUUUUAAAUUUCAAACUGCUCUUAACAUUGAGUGAAGAAAAUAUUUAGUUUUAUAUUAUUACCAAAAUAAAUAAAAAUAAAAAUUCAAUCAACCAAAUAAUCUAUAAAUAGAUUUAGAAUGUUGCAUGAUAUAUAUAUUAAAAAAAAGAAAAAAAAACGAUGCAUGUGCCCUAAUGUUGUGAAGUUUUUUUUUUCAUUGAAAAUAACAAAAUAACUAUUUGUUUAUAUUUUAUAUUAGUUCUAUGGCAUACCGCGUGGAAAAGGAAAAUUCAUGUAAAUAAUAUAUUUAUAAAAAUUUAUAUUAAAACUAAAUGAGAUUUUAGUUGAAAUAGUUAAGUUAAAAAGUGUAAAAUUUAUGAGCUAUAAGUUUAAAUCCUAUUGUAGUGUUAUUUAUAAAAAAAAUGAGAAAAGAUAAAAAUACCUUUAUAUUAAUAUUUGUUAUAUUAUAAAAUAAGGAUAUUUUUAACAAAUUUUCAAUUGAAUAGAUGUUUGGGUGAAUCCUAAUACCAAUUAAAGUAUAUAUACACAAACAAUUAUAAAUCAAAUUACUUUUAAUAAAAUGCUAUCAUUCAAUUCAAUGACAAUAAAUGCAUUUAUAAAUACAUCAAAUGUAAAUCUCAUGUUUAUAAGAAAACACGUAGAAAAAAAGUUAAACCAAUAUUUGAGUCCUAGCUGUGGAGGCAUGAUUGAGUGAAAUCAAAUGGACGCUGGUUUUAAUUCUAUUGAAAGAAACCAAUAAUCACGUAGGUUGGCAGUUGAACAUAAUUGAAUGGUCUCAACUUUUAAUGUGGUGUUAAUGUUUGGAUCGGAUAAUCUCAACUUACCUAAUAGCUAGGAAAGUAAAAUUCAAACAUCACCCGCUACUACUUUUGGCUAUAAAAACCCUCCUACCCUCAAGCCCUAACCACGACAAUCACCAAUAGUACUACUACUCCAAGCAAGUAUUUUCCUUACACGUUUGUUUUUCUUGUGAUUAAUCGAUAUGGCUAGCUCAAUGUCCCUUAAACUUGCAUGUGUGGUGGUGUUGUGCAUGGUAGUGGGUGCACCCCUGGCUCAAGGGGCCGUAACCUGUGGUCAAGUCACAAACUCCCUCGCACCCUGCAUUAAUUACUUGAGAGGGAGUGGUGCUGGUGCCGUUCCCCCAGGUUGCUGCAGCGGCAUCAAAUCUCUCAACUCCGCCGCCCAAACAACACCAGACCGGCAAGCAGCUUGCAGAUGCAUCAAAAGUGCGGCCGCCGGCAUUACUGGCAUCAACUUUGGCCUUGCAAGCGGACUCCCAGGCAAGUGCGGUGUCAACAUCCCUUACAAGAUCAGCCCUAGCACUGACUGCAACAGGUUCGUAUGAGUUGUUUCAUUGCUUAUGCUUAUUAAUUGCUCAACAUUUAAUGUGGUGUUUCAUUUGCAGCGUCAAGUGAAGUUUUGGCAUGGAAAGUUCACCAGCUAGUGGAAGCCAAAAUAACGAUAGCUACAGAAUAAAUAUGGAUGUUAAAAUUCCAGAGUUAUGCGUUGUGUACUAUGCCGCUUUAUGCGACUACGUAAUAUAAUCUUUAUCUACAAAUUAGUAUCACUCAUGUCUCCAUUCCCCUUCUUUCAAGCAUUUUAUAUCAACAUUCACGUGAUCCAUAUUUCAUUCCUUAAAAAAAAAAAUUAAGAAAACAAAAAUUAUGAGAUUCACUCCAUAUAAAAAAAAUUCAAUGUGGCACAUAGGAAGUUUAUCGUUUCAUAAUACGAUACCCAUAAUUAAAAAGUUCAUUUAUAUUUGUAACUAGGGUUGAAAUCAUAAAAUUAUUUUUGUGUAAGUUUGAAUUUAUAUUUUACUAAAAAAUAAUCUUUAUUAAUUGUAAAACUUUAUAAAAGAAAAUAUGAGUUUACCUAACCGUAUAUCCCUAUAUGUUGCAUUGUGGGGUUAAAGUCUUUGCAUGAUAAAUCCAUUAUCUUCAUAUAUCUUGUAUUGUGGGGUUAAAGUCUUCGCACGAUAAAUCCAUUAUCUUAAAAUCUUAGAAGAAAAUGAGUGAAUGUUGGAAGUUUAUUCUUAAUGUAAUUCUAGAAACUAAUUUAAUUAUUAUUAUUAUUAUUAUUACAAAUUUGUGCCUUUGUAAAAUAAAUAUAUACUUCUAUUUUUAUUUUUACAAAAUACAAAUAUUAAAUUUUAAACCUUAUAAACUUUUAACCAUAAAUUUUUAAUCGUUAAACCUAAACCCCACCUCUAAUAUAAAAUCCUUUGUCCACAAACUGUUCCAAUCAUUUGGGAAAGAGAAAAUCAAACUGUAAGCCUACUAAUAAUAUAUCGUUAUGAUUAUUUAACAUUUGUUACUUGAUUUUGAUAUUUUUCUUAUAAUUUCAUACUUAAUUUUUUUUAUCCAAUUUCACACUUAAACCUUUUAAAUAUUAUACAAAUUACCUCAAAAUACUAAUGAUAUUAAUUUUUUUAUGAGGGAAAAGAAACAGCUAACGUAUGGUUGUCAUGUGACAAAUGAUAUGGAAUUUAAUGACAGGGAUGAUUACAUUUAUUUGAAGUUUUCUCUAUUUUUUUAAACAAUAUGUUCACAAUUUACAUUUCAUCAAGCCUGAGAUUACUUUGACAGUUAAUGGCAAGAGUGUUACAAGAGGAACCAUAUGCUUAAAGCAUGACCUAGUUUUCAUAAAGCCCUCAAGUCCCAUAAAAAUAGGAAAAUUAUGUUAAAAAAUUGUACCUACGCUUAAUAGAAUAUUGAAAAAUAAAAAAAUAAUUUUAAAACCCAAAAAUAAAAAGAAAUUCAUUAUUAAAUUAAAAAGGUAAAAUAAAAAAAUUAAUUAAACUAAAAGUAAUUCAACAAUUAAAAUACAAAAAAUCAAUCUCAUGUCAUCCGUCAUAUGUUAAUCAUACAUUGAUUAUAUUUGCACCUCAUAAAUAUAAAAUUAUUAUAUUGGAGUAAUUUGUAAAACCUUUAACAAGUUAGAUACCAAAUUGAAAAAAAGAAGAAGCUUAAGUGCUAAAUUAAAAAAUAUAUAUUAAGUUCGAGAAUUAAAUUGAAAAAAAAAGCAAGGGUACCAAAUAAGCUAAGACCCACACUCAACCCGACUCCUAUUAAAUAUCUCUUCGUCUCACUUCGGCAAGAGACAAAGGAUAUAUAGUUUACACUACUAAAAUUCAACUGUAUAUGUAAUAGGCCAAUUUUGGCCUGGCCUAGUUAAUAAAUAAAACCCAAACAAAUAAAUAAUAAAAGUCUAAAAUUUACAGUCCAUUUUUACAAACAUCAGGGCCCAAUUUACAACAUGCAUAGCCCAAAUAAAAAAAAACUACCCAAACCCAAUUACAAAGCCCAAAACAAAUCAACCCUAGCCCACUCAAAACAUUUCAGCAAAAAAAGUAAACCCUAGUCACAUGCCUUCAGCCGCCGCUUCUCCCACACGUUACCCUCGACCACUGCACGCACGUCUGUCACCGCCCUUCCGCACGUCUGACAUCUCUGACGACCUGCAACACGCAAGCGAAAGAAGCCAAGCAGAAGAACCAAGAAGAAACGACAAAAAAAAAGAGGAAGCAAACAGUUUAUGACACGACUAUAAAAGCCGAAAUAAGUCCUUUGUAAUUUUUUUAAGCAUACUAGAAAUAAAAAAGUAGAACAGAAGUUUCGAAAAGGUGUUAUUUUGAUCCUAUUCUUUUUGUCUCGAUUCAUUUUUCUAGUUUCCUUUUAUUUAUUCUUAACACGAAUCUAUUUUUAAAAUAAAAAAAACAAGGCAAAGAUUUCCAAAGGUGACCCUUUUUUUUAAAAUCUAAAAUUUUUCUACCUUUUUUGUUUUUUUAUUCUCAUUAUUUCUCACGAAAAAUAAAGAGAACAGAAAUGAAGGAUUUACUUGGGCUGUUUCGCACUCUGGUCGCCGAAAACUCCCUCUCCGGCGUCGAAAUCGUCUUAGGAAGAAGGUGACAAGGGCCUUUCUUUCGAUUUUCUGGUUAGGAAGGCUUUGCCUUCGGUUUCAUUUUCUUGAAAAAGGUUAAAAAGGCCGAAUUUAAGGGUAGCUCCGACCACCGUCCACGGCGGGGAGCGGAGGUCCGAUGACGUACGAUGAUGGGUUUUAUAAACCCUAGCAGAGAAAAUAAAUGGGAGGGGGGCUGCUUUCUAUUUUUUUUAAAAGAAAAAGAAGCAUGUAAUAGCCCAAUUUAGACCCUAAUCAGAAUGGUGGUUUCAGGACCACGAAUUCGAGUCAGAAAAAUAUUUAAAUAUUAUUUUUCGUGUUUAUUAUAUGUGAAUUUGCAUGUGUGAAAUUUUCGUGUAAAAAUUUGAUUGUUUGUGUGCUUAAUUUAAUAAAAGGACUUAAUCGCGUAAAUUAAAAACUUGAUAGUGAAAAGCAUAAGGGCCAAAUUGUUAAUGGCUUUGUAAGUUGAAGCAUUUAAGUGGCAAUUUGACCAUAUUUAGUUAGAUGGACGGUUGUGACCAUGCAUUAAAAUGGUUUUAUAUUUUUAUAUCUUAAGGUUAAUUUGGUAAAUUAUGAAUUAAUAAUGUUAUAAUAAAACAUAAAAAUAAAACCACCAUGCAUUUGUUCAUCUUUUUGACUGAAAGUUGUGAAAGAAAGAAAAGAAAAUAAGCUUGGUGAUAUUCAGCCAUUUCUCAAGCUUGAUUCAAGGUUAGUUUGGUUUCGGUUUUUGAUAAUUUUUACGUUUUUGAAAUUGUUACUUCGAAUACUAUCUGACCCAUGCUAGAAUUUUUGAUUUUGAUGAAUGUAUUGAGCUGUGCCAUUGAUGAAUAUUUGUGUUUUGUGAUGUUUGAUGAUGAAAUAUUAAAGAUAUGUUUUAGAUUAAUAUGUUUUGUAUUGGAAUUUUUGAUGAUUUUGAGUAAUUAGAACUAAAUUGUAAAAAUAAUAAAUUAAGGGACUAAAAUGUGAAAUAAACAAAAUUUGAGGACUUGUUUGGGUGUGGGGAGUAUUCGGCCUAAGUAUAACAUGAGAAAAUUAUGCUUGUUUUGUGUUUUAUGCAAAUAGGACUAAUUUGUAAAAGUAUGAAAUAUCAGGGGUAAAAUGGUAAUUUGCCCAUUUAUGUGUUGUUGGAUUAAAUUGAAUGAAAUUGUGUUUGAAUGAGAUAAAUUUGAAAUUUUAUAGAUCAAGAAUAAAAGAAAUCGGACUUGGAUCGAGGAAAAACAAAAAUAGUCGAAUAGUCGAUUUACAUCGUUCGUCGAUAUCCAAGGUAAGUCUUUAAGCAAUUAAACAUCAUUAAUUUUGAAUGUAAUUUAGUUUAAUAUACUGAUUCGGAAUUUAUGGAUUUGUAAUAGAGUUAGACGAAUGUGAAAAAGUAUAUAAAUAAUGUAUUUGAGUUUAACUCGAUUGAGUUAUAACAUUUGAAAGUCCGUAUGAACUAUAUGGAAUAUCUGAAAUGUUUGAUAUAUGAAAUGUUUAUGAGACAACUUUAUAAUAAUGAUAUUCGAGCUUUGAGCCUAGCAAGCCUUGUGUUGGUGAAUUUAAUCGGGCUUGACGCCCAGUAGGCUUAUUACCGUUGUAUAAAAUCAGACUUUGAGUCUAGCAGGCCUUGUGCAGAUGUGAUACAGGCUUAGGUCUAGCAGGUUUUAUACCGGUGAAAUAUUAUAAGUCUAUGCCUAAAAGAUUUUAUGUUGAUGUGAUAAAUGAAUAUGUUGAACGAGCUAAAACGAUCAGGUACGUGAUAGCUAGACUACCUAUUUGAAAACAAGAUGAAUUUAUUCCUUGAUAUGUGAUGAAAAAGAAUUCAUGAAUUUAAUGUAGUACAUGUGCUAAUGUGAGAAAUAUAUUUGAUCUUAUAAUUGUACAUGAAGGUAUUGUUAAACUUUGAGUGAUGAGUAUAUGUCUUAAAAUAUAUAUGUAUAUUCGAUUAUAUAAAUCAAUGUGGUUUCGAAUUUCUCAUAUGUAUAUUCGAUUAUAUAAAUCAAUGUGGUUUCGAAUUUGAGAACAUAUUGGUGCUAUAUACUUGUUUAUUCGGCCAAAAAGAAGUUGCCUUAUGAAAGUAUAUGUUUUAUAUGUGUGGAAUUAAAAGUUUGAAAAUAAAAGUGAUUAAAAAUGCAUAAGUUGAUUUAUUUAAUUGAAAUGAUUAGUAAUUAAAUGUUAUUAUGCUUUAAUUGUUUAAUUUGCUUAAGGAAUACUAAGCUAAGUUAGCUUACUUUGUGUAUAUAUAUAUUUGUCUUUGUUUUAUAGUUUUUGGAGAUCGUUACAUGCUCGGAGAUUGUCAGUAAAGUCAAUCGCACUAUUGUUUAUUCUCGGUACCUUUGAAAGUUUUAAAUUCAAACUUAUGGCAUGUAUAGGCUGAAUGAUGUUUUGUUAUGAUGAACUUUGGCUUUGUAUAAAGCCAUGCGAAAGUGGCUUAUUUAAAUGCUUGAAUUUGGUUUUGGUAUAAUGAUGGUUUGAGUCCAUUUUGGUUAUUAUGCAAUGUGUCAAGGAUGAAUGAUACUUGUGAUAUCUAUUUGAGUGUUGAAGAUGCUUGGUAAAUUUGGAUGUGUGCAUUGGAUUGAUUCGGUUAUGGUAUGGAAGAUUCAUGUUUUGUAUAUAUAUAAAUAUAUCUAUUUGAAGUUAAUGGUUUACUCUUGAGAGAUAUAAAAUGUAAUAUGAGUUGGUUUGAAAAUUAUACAAUGAUGUAUCGUGAAUUUAGAUAUAAGAUAAAGGUAUAUGAGGUGGUUAUGUCUAACUUGUGAUUCGACAAUUGCUUUUAUAAAUAUUCAUGCUUGAUGAAUUGACUUAAUAUGUAUUUCAACUAAAAGUAUACUAUGUAGUAGGUAGGUAAUAUGUAGGAUUAUUUGCGUCUUAGGCAAAGUUUAGAUGACCAAAUUGACGAUAAAUAGGUUAGUUGUAAAUCCGCAUUUUUGGUAUGUGACAUGAGUGCAUUUCAAAUCUUUACUUGCAAUAUAAAAUGGUUAACAAUAAAUAAGUAAUUGAGUUAAAUUUUAGUUUGUGAAUUAAGCUUGAUAAGUUUCGUUAUUAAUGUUCUAUUAUAGUUCAUGUUUAAUAUGGUUAAAAAAUAUAUAAGGUUUAUUUGUUUAAUGAAACAAUUUGAUUAUUUGUGAAGAUAUGAAUGUCGUGUAUGCUGAUGAUUAAAUUGUCAUGUGUUAGAUUUUUAUUUGAUUUAAUAUGUACAUGUUUCGAAAUAUGUUUUAAAAUAUUCGAUGUUUAACAGAUAUCCGAAUUUGACUUGUAUUUGUAUAUUGUAAUGAUAGAAUUUCGAUUAAUAUUUAUUUGGACAUUCGUAUAUACAUAUGAAUAUGACUUGUGUGAGUAUUCAGAGUUGUGUUUUUUUCCAGUAAUGCCUUCGAACCCUAAUUCAGCGACGGAUACGGGUUUGGGGUGUUACAUUUUAUUAGUAUCAGAGCUAUAGUUUAGUCGAUUCUAGGACUAAUGUAGCAUGUGUGAGUUUAGCUAUACAUGCCAUAGUGUUUACUGCGAUAAUGUGAUGACUUCUGACAUUGAAAAUGUGUUUUCGUAUUGUAAAUAAAUCCCGACAGAGCUGUAGUUGAUGAUGUCGAGAGUGUAGCACAUGCUCCUGCGCAUGAGACAGCACCAGUUGAAUCUCGGCUGAUCUCGAGUAGCCGUGAAGGGGAGGCUAAACAAGCCUUCUAUCAACUAACGAAUGAUUGGUUUACUCAAUAUAUUUGAACUAACCCGGCUACACAACAACCUCCAUCCCCGAAUAAUUCAUCUUCGAUACCUGUGGUUCCUCCUAUGAUUGAUUCGAUGAGAUUUAAUAAGCCUUCCGUUGAUAAAAUUAGAAAACACGGGGCUGAAGAAUUCAGAGCUACUGAUGAUGAUGAUGCUAAGCUAGCUAAAUUCUGGCUUGAUAAUACUAUCCGUGUGCUUGAUGAGUUAUCUUGUACCCCGGAUGAGUGCUUAAAAUGUGCUAUAUCCUUGCUACGAGACACCGCAUACCACUAGUGGAAUAUACUAGUAUCGGUGGUUCCGAAGGAGCGAGUGACUUGGGACUUCUUUUAGACUGAGUUUCGUAAGAAAUAUCUCAGUUAGAGAUUCAUUGACCAGAAGCACAAGGAAUUUCUCUAAUUAAAAUAGGGUCGCAUGACUGUGAUAGAAUAUGAGCGAAAAUUUGUGAGACUCAGUUGAUAUGCUCGUGAGUGUGUUUCAACUGAAGCUAUCAUGUGUAAAAGAUUUGAAAACGGUUUGAACGAAGACAUUAAAUUUCUGGUUGAUAGACUUGAAAUUAAAGAGUUCGUGGUACUUGUUGAGCGAGCUUGCAAAGCUGAAGAGCUCGGGAAAGAAAAAAGAAAAGCUGAUUUUGAAGCUAGAGAUUUUCGCAAAAGAUCAUUGGGUAAGACUUUUCAAUUAGCAUCGAAGAAGUUCUGAGAUGAUUCUAGUCAAUCUAAAGAUACUGCGAGCUUUUCUAGACGAGAUUGAGACUGACCCCCUGUGAGUUUGCGAGCCACUUCGAUAGUUAGUGUUGGCAAUGUUCGACAGAAUAGAGUCGAGUGCAAGCAUUGUGGUAAAUGGUAUUCUGGAGAUUGCAGAUUGCAUGACCGGUCUUGUUUUAAAUGUGGAUCGAUGGAUUAUUUUAUCCGAGAUUGCCCAAUGUUAGCGAGCAAAACACUGUUCAGAAUGCAAGACCGAGUAAUAUGUCAGUGCGAGGCAGACCACCUAGGCAUUCGGGUAAUGUAGGUGGCAGUCAGAUAGGGAUGAAAGAUACAGCAGUUCGAUCUGAGGCUCGUGCACCUACCAGAGCAUAUGCUAUACGUGCUCGUGAGGAGGCUUCUUCCCCAAAUGUUAUUACCGGUACUUUUACUCUUUAUGAUACUAGUGUUAUUACAUUGAUUGAUCCUGGUUCGACUCAUUCUUAUGUGUGUGAAACAUUAGUAUCCAGUAAGACUUUGCCUGUUGAGUCUACUGAGUUUGUGAUUCGAGUAUCGAACCCCCUAGGCCGGUGUGUUCUGGUUGAUAAAGUAUGUAAGAAUUGUCCAUUGAUGAUUUGAGAUUCAUGCUUUCCAGCCGAUUUGAUGUUAUUUCCUUUCGAUGAGUUCGAUAUAAUUUUGCGUCUGGACUGGCUGACUUUGCACGAUGCUGUUGUUAAUUACAAAAGAAAGACCAUUGAUUUGAGAUGUCAGAACAACGAGAUUACUCAGAUUGAAUCUAAUGAUCUGAAUGGUUUACUAGCAGUAAUAUCUUCGAUGUUAGCUCGGAAGUACGUGAGAAAAGGUUGUACAGCUUACUUUACUUAUGUGCUUGAUAGUAAAGUGAUUGAAAAAAAGAUUGAAUCUGUACUAGUUGUGUGCGAGUAUCCGGAUGUGUUUCCUAAAAAAUUACCAGGUUUGCCACCUGUCUGAGAGGUAGAUUUUAGUAUUGAGUUAGUACCGAGGACGUCUCCAAUUCCAAUAGCUCCGUAUCGGAUGGCACCUACUAAAUUAAAAAGAAUUGAAAGCUCAGUUACAAUAGUUAACAAAUAGAGGUUUUGGACGACCGAGUUUUUCUCCUUGGGGUGCACCAGUUUUAUUUGUGAAAAAGAAAGACGAAACUAUGAGAAUGUGCAUUGAUUAUAGACAGCUCAAUAAGGUGACUAUAAAGAAUAAGUAUCCGUUACCACGGAUUGAUGACUUGUUUAAUCAACUAAAAGGGGCUAAACUGUUUUCAAAGAUAGAUUUGAGGUCCGGCUACUAUCAGUUGCGAGUUUAAGACUCUGAUGUGCCGAAAACUGCCUUCCGAACGAGGUACGGACGUUAUGAAUUUCUGGUUAUGCCUUUUGGACUUACUAAUGCACCUACUAUUUUUAUGGAUUUGAUGAAUCAAAUUUUUAGACAUUAAUUGGAUCGGUUUGUGGUUGUGUUCAUUGAUGAUAUAUUGAUCUACUCCUGUGGUGAAACUGAACAUGCCGAACAUUUGAGACUUGUGUUACAGAAUUUGCAAGAAAAACAGUUGUAUGCGAAGUUCAGUAAAUGUGAGUUCUAGUUACAUGAAGUUAUUUUUUUGGGACAUGUUGUUUCAGCAUCAGGUAUUCGGGUUGAUCCAAGUAAAAUUUCAGCAAUACUUGACUGGAAACCUCCGAGAAACGUUUCUGAAGUCUGAAGUUUUUUGGGACUUACGGGUUACUAUAGGCGAUUUGUGAAAGAUUUCUCUAUGAUUGCAACCUCGAUGACGAAGCUAUUACAGAAAUAUGUUAAAUUUGAGUGGUCUGAAAAGUGCCAGAAAAGUUUUGAUCAGUUGAAAUUCCUUUUGACCGAAACUCCAGUGCUAGUUCAGCCAGAAUCGGGUAAAGAAUUUGUUAUCUAUAGUGAUGCAUCUUUAGAUGGUUUGGGUUGUGUACUGAUGCAAGAAGGCAAAGUUAUAGCUUAUGCCUUGAGACAGUUAAAGCUACAUGAAAAGAACUAUCUGACACACGACCUAGAGUUGGCAGCUAUUGUAUUUGCGUUGAAAAUUUGGCGUCACUAUCUGUUUGGUGAAAAAUGUCAUGUUUAUUCUGAUCACAAAAGCUUGAAGUACUUGAUGACUCAGAAAGAUCUGAAUUUGAGACAACACCGAUGGUUAGAAUUGCUAAAAGACUAUGAACUGGUGAUUGACUAUCACCCAGGAAAUUGACUAUCACCCGGGAAAGGCUAAUGUUGUUGCUAAUGCUCUAAAUCAAAAAUCCCUGUUUUCUUUGCGUGCAAUGAAUGCACAUAUGGUCAUGUCAAAUGAUGGUACGAUAAUAGCCGAGUUAAAAGUAAGACUGUUAUUUAUUCAGCAGAUUUACGAAGCUUAGAAGGUCGAUAAUGAUUUGAUAGUAAAGCGGGCUCAAUGUGAUUUGAACGUUGAUUCAGAAUUUCUAGUGGAUUCUGAGGGAUGUUUGCAAUUCAGAAACCGAAUAUGUGUUCUGAGAAAUACAGAGUUGAUUCAGAUGAUUUUGAAUGAAGCUCAUAACAGUCGGUUAUCUGUUCACUCGGGUAGUACGAAGAUGUGUAAUGAUCUGAAACAGCACUAUUAGUGGCAAGGUAUGAAACGAGACAUUUUUGACUUUGUAUCGAAAUGUUUAAUCUGUCAGAAAGUAAAAGCCGAGCGUCAGGUACCUUCUGGAUUGCUACAGCUGAUCAUGAUACCUGAAUGGAAAUGAGAUAGAGUCACGAUGGAUUUUGUAUCCGGUUUACCGAUGACAUUGAGCAAGAAAGAUGCAAUCUGGUUUAUUGUGGAUAGAUUGACUAAAUCAUCUCACUUUGUUUCAGUUUGUACAGAUUAUUCACUCGAUAAACUUGCUGAGUUAUAUGUUUCUCAGAUUGUGAGACUACACAGAGUACCUAUUUCUAUUGUGUCUGAUAGAGAUCUGAGGUUUACAUCGCGGUUUUGGAAGAGACUGCAAGAUGCAUUAGGUACUAAACUACAUUUUAGCACUACUUUUCAUCCCCAGAUAGAUGGUCAGUCUGAGCGAAUCAUUCAGAUACUUGAGGAUAUGUUGAGAUGUUGCAUUCUCGAGUUUGAAGGUACGUGGGAACAAUACCUACCUCUGAUUGAAUUUACGUACAAUAAUAGCUUUCAAUCGAGUAUCAAAAUGGCACCUUUCGAGGCUUUGUACAGUCAUAAAUGUCGUACACCAUUGUAUUGGACUGAGCUCAGUGAAAAUAAGAUAUCCAGGGUUGAUUUGGUCAGAGAAACUGAACAGAAAGUGAAAGUGAUUCAUGAAAGUUUAAAAGCAGCAUCAGAUCAUCAGAAAUCAUAUGCGGACUUGAAACGUAAAGAUAUAGAGUUUCAAAUCGGGGAUAGAGUAUUUUUGAAAGUCUCACCAUGGAAGAAAAUACUCAGAUUCAGUCAUAAAGGCAAGUUCAAUUAGAGAUUCAAUGGACCGUAUGAGAUUAUAGAGCGGAUUGGGCCGGUUGCGUAUAGACUAUUGUUGCCACCUGAGCUAGAAAUGAUCCACAAUGUAUUCCAUGUUUCAAUGCUUCGUAGAUAUCGAUCUGAUCCUUCACAUGUGAUUAGUCCAUCUGAGAUUGAGAUCAAGCCCGAUUUAAAGUAUGAAGAAGAACCGAUUCGUAUUCUAGCUCGUGAAAUUAAAGAGUUGCGAAAUAAUAAAAUUUCGUUAGUUAAAGUACUGUGGCAUAAACAUGGAGUUGAGGAAGCAACGUGGGAACCAGAAGAUGUAAAGAGAGAACGCUAUCCAAACCUAUUCACCGUUAAGAUUUUCGGGGACGAAAAUCCGUAAGAGGGGAGAGUUGUAACAACCCAAUUUAGACCCUAAUCAGAAUGGUGGUUUCAGGACCACGAAUUCGAGUCAGAAAAAUAUAUAAAUAUUAUUUUUCAUGUUUAUUAUAUGUGAAUUUGCAUGUGUGAAAGUUUCGUAUGAAAAUUUGAUUGUUUGUGUGCUUAAUUUAAUAAAAGGACUUAAUCGCGUAAAUUAAAAACUUGAUAGUGAAAAGCAUAAGGGCCAAAUUGUUAAUGGCUUUGUAAGUUGAAGCAUUUAAGUGGCAAUUUGACCAUAUUUAGUUAGAUGGACGGUUGUGACCAUGCAUUAAAAUGGUUUUAUAUUUUUUAUCUUAAGGUUAAUUUGGUAAAUUAUGAAUUAAUAAUGUUAUAAUAAAACAUAAAAAUAAAACCACCAUGCAUUUGUUCAUCUUUUUGACUGAAAGUUGUGAAAGAAAGAAAAGAAAAUAAGCUAGGUGAUAUUCAGCCAUUUCUCAAGCUUGAUUCAAGGUUAGUUUGGUUUCGGUUUUUGAUAAUUUUUACGUUUUUGAAAUUGUUACUUCGAAUACUAUCUGACCCAUGCUAGAAUUUUUGAUUUUGAUGAAUGUAUUGAGCUGUGCCAUUGAUGAAUAUUUGUGUUUUGUGAUGUUUGAUGAUGAAAUAUUAAAGAUAUGUUUUAGAUUAACAUGCUUUGUAUUGGAGUUUUUGAUGAUUUUGAGUAAUUAGGACUAAAUUGUAAAAAUAAUAAAUUAAGGGACUAAAAUGUGAAAUAAAUGAAAUGUGAGGACUUGUUUGGGUGUGGGGAGUAUUCAGCUUAAGUAUAGCAUGAGCAAAUUAUGCUUGUUUUGUGUUUUAUGCAAAUAGGACUAAUUUGUAAAAGUAUGAAAUAUUAGGGGUAAAAUGGUAAUUUUUCCAUUUAUGUGUUGUUGGAUUAAAUUGAAUGAAAUUGUUUUGAAAUUUUAUAGAUCAAGAACAAAAGAAAUCGGACUUGGAUCGAGGAAAAACAAAAAUAGUCGAAUAGUCGAUUUACAUCGUUCGUCGAUAUCCGAGGUAAGUCUUUAAGCAAUUAAACAUCGUUAAUUUUGAAUGUAAUUUAGUUUAAUAUGCUGAUUUGGAAUUUAUGGAUUUGUAAUAGAGUUAGCCGAAUGUGAUAAAGUAUUUAAAUAAUGUAUUUGAGUUUAACUCGAUUGAGUUAUAACAUUUGAAAGUCCGUAUGAACUAUAUGGAAUAUCUGAAAUGUUUGAUAUAUGAAUUGUUUAUGAGACAACUUUAUAAUAAUGAUAUUCGGGCUUUGAGCCUAGCAAUCCUUGUGCUGGUGAAUUUAAUCGGGCUUGAUGCCUAGCAGGCUUAUUACCGGUGUAUAAAAUCAGACUUUGAGUCUAGCAGGCCUUGUGCCAGUUGUGAUACAGGCUUAGGCCUAGUAGGUUUUAUGUCGAUGAAAUAUUUUAAGUCUAUACCUAAAAGAUUUUAUGUUGAUGUGAUAAAUGAAUAUGUUGAACGAGCUAAAACGAUCAGGUACGUGAUAGUUGGACUACCUAUUUGAAAACAGGAUGAAUUGAUUUCUUGAUAUGUGAUGAAAAAGAAUUCAUGAAUUUAAUGUAGUACAUGUGCUAACGUGAGAAAUAUAUUUGAUCUUAUAAUUGUACAUGAAGGUAUUGUUAAACUUUGAGUGAUGAGUAUAUGUCUUAAAAUAUAUAUGUAAAUUCGAUUAUAUAAAUCAAUGUGGUUUCGAAAUUUGAGAACAUAUUGGUGCUAUAUACUUGUUUAUUCGGCCAAAAAGAAGUUUCCUUAUGAAAGUAUAUGUUUUAUAUGUGUGGAAUUAAAAGUUUGAAAAUAAAGGUGAUUAAAAAUGCAUAAGUUGAUUUAUUUAAUUGAAAUGAUUAGUAAUUAAAUGUUAUUAUGCUUGAAUUGUUUAAUUUGCUUAAGGAAUACUAAGCUAAGUUAGCUUACUUUGUGUAUAUAUAUAUAUUUGUCUUUGUUUUAUAGAUUUUGGAGAUCGUUACAUGCUUGGGGAUCGUCAGUAAAGUCAAUCGUACUAUCGUUUAUUCUCGAUCCCUUUGAAAGUUUUAAAUUCAAACUUAUGGCAUGUAUAGGCUGAAUGAUGUUUUGUUAUGAUGAACUUUGGCUUUGUAUAAAGCCAUGCGAAAAUGGCUUAUUUAAAUUCUUGAAUUUGGUUUUGGUAUAAUGAUGGUUUGAGUCAAUUUUAGUUAUUAUGCAAUGUGUCAAGGAUGAAUGAUACUUGUGAUAUCUAUUUGAGUGUUGAAGAUGCUUGGUAAAUUUGGAUGUGUGCAUUGGAUUGAUUCGGUUAUGGUAUGGAAGAUUCAUGUUUUGUAUAUAUAUAAAUAUAUCUAUUUGAAGUUAAUGGUUUACUCUUGAGAGAUAUAAAAUGUAAUAUGAGUUGGUUUGAAAAUUAUACAAUGAUGUAUCGUGAAUUCAGAUAUAAGAUAAAGGUAUAUGAGGUGGUUAUGUCUAACUUGUGAUUCGGCAAUUGCUUUUAUAAAUAUUCAUGCUUGAUGAAUUGACUUAAUAUGUAUUUCAACUAAAAGUAUACUAUGUAAUAGGUAGGUAAUAUGUAAGAUUAUUUUCGUUUUAGGCAAAGUUUAGAUGACCAAAUUGACGAUAAAUAGGUUAGUUGUAUAUCCGCAUUUUUGGUAAGUGACAUGAGUGCAUUUCAAAUCUUUACUUGCAAUAUAAAAUGGUUAACAAUAAAUAAAUGAUUGAGUUAAAUUUUAGUUUGUGAAUUAAGCUUGAUAAGUUUCGUUAUUAAUGUUCUAUUAUAGUUCAUGUUUAAUAUGGUUAAAAUAUAUAUAAGGUUUAUUUGUUUAAUGAAACAAAUUUGAUUAUUUGUGAAGAUAUGAAUGCCGUGUAUGCUGAUGAUUAAAUUGUCAUGUGUUAGAUUUUUAUUUGAUUUAAUAUGUACAUGUUUUGAAAUAUGUCUUAAAAUAUUUGAUGUUUAACAGAUAUCUGAAUUUGACUUGCAUUUGUAUAUUGUAAUGAUAGAAUUUCGAUUAAUAUUUGUUUGAAAAUUUGUAUAUACAUAUGAAUAUGACUUGUGUGAGUACUUAGAGUUGUGUUUUUGUCCAGUAAUGCCUCUUGACCCUAAUUCGUCGACGGAUACGGGCUAGGGGUCUUACAAAGUAAAUGGCAAAAAAUAAAAAAAUAAAAAACUGGUUUAAAUAGCAAGGCAAAACAGUGCUGUUUUGCACCUAAAGCCCUAACACCAAAACGGCGUCGUAUAUGCCUUGACCCGCGCGAUCCGACCUGCUCCAAGGGGGUUUUGCGCGUUUUUGAGUUAAGGACUACUUGCGCUCGUAGUCCCUUCGAUUUUGGGUUUGUUAUGUUUGGCCCUUUUAUUAUUUUUAUUUUUUUUAUAGAUUUAAUUGCUUAAUUUUAUUUGGUUUUCGAUUGAGUCCUUGGCUCUCUAAUGCUUUGAAAACGGACAUGCAUCCUUAGAGUUAGGGAAUAAUUACAUAUUUAACCCCUGUUCUUUCGCGCGUGUCUUAUCUUAGGCCUUGCUUCCUUUUUUUUGUUUUUUUUAGAUGUGGCCCUUAAUUUUAAUCUUUUUUUUAGUUCGACCCUUAACCCUAUAACAUUAAACUUUUUUUUUAUAUUUUACUUAUUAUAUUUUUUUCAUUUAUUUAUUUUAAACAGUUUUAUAUGUUAUUUAUUUUAGAUUUUUAUAUAUUAAUUCUUUAAACUGUCUUAUGUAUUAUGUAUUUAAAAUUGCUUUACAAAAUUUUUUUAUUUUAAACUUACUUAUUUUAUUUAUUUUUUAAUGCUUUCAUAUAUCGUUUAUUAACCUUUUAUACAUUAUUUACUUUAGAUAUUUUUAUAUAAAUUAUUUAUUUUAAACUAUUAUAUAUUUUAAAUUUUCAUUUAAACUAUUAUAUAUUUUAAAUUUUCAUGUAUAAUAUUCAAUUCAAACUAUUUUAUAGGUUAUUCAUUUAAAAUUUUUGUAUUACUUAUUUUAAGUUGUUUUAUUAUUAUAUAUUUUAAAUUUUUCUUUUUUUAUACAUUAUUUAUUCGAAACUGUUUAUAUAUUAAUUACUUUAAGUCGUUUCAUUUAUUAUACAUUUUAAACCUUUUUUUAUAUAUUAUUUAUUUAAAACUGUCUUAUUAUUUAUUUUAAAUUAUUUUAUAUUAUUUAUUUCAUUUUUCUUUGAUUAUUAAUGUUGGUUUUCUAAAUAAUGUAUGUUAUCUGAUUAUUACCAUUGUGUGAAUACUGUCAUCAUAUGCUUUAGGAAUUAUUUAUUAAUAUUUUCAUGUUGUUGACAUUCAUUGACAUAGCAUUUAAUUCAUGUAUUAUUAUUUCAUGCUCUAUAUUCCCUUUUAUUUCAUUUUGUUUAAAUCAUAUCGCGUAUUAACCUCAAAUGUAUUUAUCCAAAUAUGGACCAUUUUAUUCCAAACAAAAUAAACGCCCAUUGCUAAGUGUUGCUCUUGUUAUUAUUCAAAAAGGAAAAUCUUCAAAAUAAGAUAAUAUUUCGCGUUUCGGGAAUUCAAGAAAUUGUACCCUAACUUACGGGGUUUCGAUUUUCUUGGUAAACCUAAAAAGCUAAAUAUCCUUUUUAGAUUUCAAAAUACGCAAAGUUCUCAAUAAAAAUUAAAUGCAAACUUAUUCCCGAGGAUUAAAACGUCGCAUCUUAACUUACGGGAUGUGACAUUUUGUUAUAUCGGGAUGAGAGGGCCUUUGAUGCUCAUUUUAACUUAAUUCAAGCAUUUUUCAAAACAAACAUUAAUAAAAAUGGAUUGUAUUUUAAUUCUUUUCAAGUUUGCAACAUUUGACAUUAGGACAUUAAUCAAUCAAUUAGGUACCAAAUUUGGGCAUUACGAGGGUGCUAAUCAUUCUUUGUACGUAACCGACUCCCGAACCCGUUAUCUCAAAUUUCUUAGACCAAAAAAUAUUAUUUUAAUAAAUCAAAACUGUUUAUUAAAAACAACCAUUUUACGAGGUGACUUGAUCACACCUCAUCAAAAAAAGAUUGGUGGCGACUCUAUUUUCGUUUUUUUUAAAAAGUUGACUCUUUUUCGAAAAAUGAUUUCAACCGCUUGGCGACUCCACUGGGGACUUUUGAGAGUCAAGCCAUAAAUUGAUUAAUUAUUGUCUUUUGUCAAAAAAUUGAAAAUCCGUUUUAAACUUACAAUCCUUUCAUUGCAUUUCAUUUUUGGGGUUUUCGUCGUUUUGUAUGAUUGGCUUUUGGUUCGAGUCUUAGUAUAAUUUUGCGCAUCAUAUUGCAUAAUUGGUCAAUUUUACCCUUUUAAGUAGGAGUGAGAAACUAUUCCUUCGUGAGGUCUUCACCUCCGUAUAGGAUAGUAGAUUGCUUUUGGGAUACAUCCGUACUUGCACCUUCGUGAGAUUUUUAUCUCCGUAUAGCCGUAGGGAAAUGUAUUCCCCUGAACUGAACUCGGUCCGUAUGAGCCUAUAAUGGGUGAGGAUCGAGGAAUCUUCUGAUUCAGGUACCUUUACUUUUGAACUAAACCACAUGUAAUGAGCCCUAAGAGCCUAUCCUAGGUAGAACCACGCUAAACCCUAGCGGUUACCCGAAUAGGUGCUUGAUUAUUUCCUAUUUGCUUUGAAUUUUAUUUUUUGUAUAUAAUACUGACUUGUUGUGUUUUUCUGUUAUUGCAUGGCAUUACAUUAUAAAAAGGUGUUGAUUCAAAAAGCUUAGCAUUGAAAAGGGGUUUCUUGAUAGAGUGGAGGAUAAUGCGGUCGUCCGAAUAUGGUCCGAGAGGAUGCAGCAAGAGAAAUGUGAUAGUUUGACCGAGGGAUAUGAAUCAGAGUUGUCAAAUUUCACCCGCAUUAGUGUGACUUAGAAUAACCUACAAGAAUUAAAGAAGAUAUGACACCAAUGGAGUGACGAGAUUAAGCAGCUAUUUUACUAUAACUACGGCGACUUGCCCUAUCUACUCGAUAUAAAGGUGGACAAGCAUUUAUUCCAAGCCCUUGCCCAGUUUUGGAAUCCCGCCUACAGUUGCUUCACUUUUGGGAGAGUUGAUUUGGUACCAACCGUGGAGGAGUACAUGGCCUUACUUCGUUGCCUGAGGAUUAAAGCUGACAAAGCUUAUUCCAGAGCUGCUAACGUCCCUACCUUUGUAAAGAAUUGAUGAAUAUCAUGAGGAUGAGUGAGCAGUGGGUUGCAGCUUGGAUUAAGCAAAAAUGAGACAGUAAAUGUAUUCCUUGGAAGAACUUGAGAGAUCUAAUUCUAGCACAUCCGGAUAUGAAGAAGAGGGUUGACGUUUUCGCUUUGAGCAUCUAAGGUUUGGUCAUCUUUCCCAAGGCAUUAGGAAAUGUAGAUGAAGCAGUCUCAGACCUAUUCGAUCGACUUGAUAAAAAGGUCACACCCAUCCCUGCGAUCUUAGACGAAACUUUCAAAUCAUUGAAUGCUUGCCGGAGAGCAGGUGAGGGGAGGUUCAUAGGAUGUGCGCAGCUUUUGCUAUCAUGGUUUCAUAUCCACUUUUGGAGGGUAGAAAAAGUCUCAUAUCGAGUUUUUUUCGAAACUACUCUCCAUUGAAGGAACUAGUGGCUACGCUAAGGCGAGAUGACUUUUCCAAAGAGAAAUGGAUAGCGAUUCUCUAGAAUGUACAAGUUGAAGACGGCGAAUGGAGGGCGCCAUGGAUGAUCCCUGAUGAGAUCUUGUAUCGGUGUGGUGAAUUUGACUGGGUCCCUCUACUUGGGAUAUGGGGAGCUACUGGAUACGGUCUACUACUUGUGCUAAGAUAGUAUCGAUCAAGGCAGUUCAUACCUAUGACACAAGGGUUGGCUCAGUGCAAGUUUUCAUAUAAGAGCGAUAAUUAUAAGAAGAGAGUUCGUGAGAUAUCGAAUGCGUGGAACCAAACCCGUAGACUGAAGGACUCAGGCGAGACCAAUGACGACCCCCGAGUAUGAUUGGUGGUGGGGUAAAAGAAUCAACGACAAUAUCCCAAUGCCAAGUCAAAAAAAUGCUCGACCAAUAGAGGAGCACUUACGAGUAGUCCCGUUUGAAUUAGAAAUCAUCAAGCAAGAUUUUGAGAAAAGGAGUCAAAAAUUGGGCAAGAAAAUAAAGCAGUUAGAGGAGGAAAAGAUGUGGCUAGGACUAGACAUCGACAUCCAUAAGCUAGAGGCUGAGAAACUAAGGAAAGGAAAGAACAAGGCCAAAGAAGAUUUGGACAGUUGGAAAACGUAUUACAAGAAGUUACGUUUGUCAAAAAGAACUGCUGGUUUGGGCAAGACAUUAGAGCAAUGGCAAUAAGAAAUUAAAAAAGAAAAAACUAGAGCCGAUAGUGGGAGAAGAAGUUUCAAGAUGCUCAAACACGGGAUGGUGCUCUAAAAAGGAGUUUGCUAGAUAGCCAAAGUGAAAAGGAGAAGUUAAGAGCUCGGGCGGCAAAGUUAGAAAAGUAAUUACAUCAACAUCGUAGUCGCAACUCCAUCAUCGAAUUAAGGGCCAGCCUAAACAAGAUUGAGGAGUUGAAAGGAAGGAUAGAAGAGCUCGAGAAUGCACUGCGAAAUGGUAAACUUCGAGUUGAACUUCUUGAAGCAAGUAAUGAACAUUGUAAAGAACAACUCCACCGCUCUUAAGAUCAAAUCAGAGAUAGGGAUUAUGUCAUGGGUGAAGCUGUGGCUCAAGUACGAGAAGUGCUGACCAUCUACAAAACCUGGCGGUUCAGGCUAAUGUACUAAGUGUAAAGUAUGAGUUAGAAUCAGGUCAGGGCCGAGAGUUAGCUUGGCUUCUUAGGAAGGUUAAGGCUUUGGGCAUUAGGGCAAAGUCGUAUAUGUAAUCUAUCUUAUGUAAAGAAAUUUGUUUUCUAGCAAAGUUGUUCUAAUAAAAUUGAAUCAGAAUCAACGUCUCUUUUUGUUUUCAUUUCUUUAAUUUGCAUUACAUUUCAUCAUAUGCAUUAAGUUUCAUAAAAAGACCCUAAUUAAACAAAAUUAUUUCAGUUAAUCUGGAAACCAAAAAGUGUCAACCAGCCGAAUAUCGUUACAAUACCCGUCGCAAAACCAAAGCAAAGUAUCAGAGAUUAGAAAGAUUGGAACAAAUGCAAAGAGAUAUACAAUAGCAAUUGCAAACACAGAUGCAAGAGCAAUUGGCUAGAAUCGAACAAGACAUGAGGGAACAAAUGCAAGAAUCCCAGAAUAAUAUGAUAAGUCAAUUGGCACAGUUGCUGGUUAGAGAACGCGAAAAAGGGAAGGGUAUUGCAGUUAACUCGGGGAACGAUAAUGAAAACCUUGCCUAUCCCUCGGGUUUUGCUCCAGUCAAUUGCCAACCACAACCAGAGGCGUACCCACGGGGGGUACCACUCAUUAUCAAGCCCCAGUAAUAUCAGGCUGGUGCCUCGACACCGAUGAACUUUCCAACAGGCUCGGGCUCCAAUCCAAGGGAUAAUCCAACUAAUCCAGUUGUUUCUAACCUUGAUGAUGUAGCAGAAAUAGAAAAAGUAAGAGUAGAUCUACCAAAACAACUCGAGGACUGUUGCAAAUGGCUUGAAGAGAAAUUCAAAGCAAUGGAGACUGUUGACUACCAUUGCGGGGUUGAUGCCAAAGAUUUGAGCUUGGUCCUAGAUUUGAUCCUCCCACCAAAAUUUAAAACUCUAGAGUUUGAAAAAUACAACGAGACUAGCUGCCCCGAAGCCCACAUCACAUUAUUCUGUCAAAGGAUGACAGGAUACAUUAAUAAUGAUCAGUUAUUAAUUCACUACUUCCAGGAUAGUCUGGUUGGGUCUGCGGCCAAAUGGUACAACCAGCUAAGCCGUACCCAAAUUAAUUCAUGGAAAGACUUGGCACAAGCUUUCAUGAAGCAAUACGGCCACGUAACAGACAUAGCACCUAACCAAAUCACGUUACAAAAUAUGGAAAAGAAACCAAAUGAGAGCUUCAGGUAGUAUGCCUAAAGAUAGAGAGAGAUAGCGAUGCAAAUCCAACCACCUUUCUUAGAGAAGGAAACGACCAUGCUUUUUAUCAAUACUUUGAAGGCUCCAUUCAUUAACCAUAUGCUAGGAAGCGCUGCUAAUAGCUUUUCAAAUAUAGUGAUGUCUAGAGAGAUGAUAAAAAAUGCGCUAAGAUGUGGGAAGAUAGACGUGGGUUAGAGUACCAAGAGAUCAGCCCCGAAAAAGAAGGAAAACGAGAUAAAUAAUGCGAGCACAUACAACAAGGGUUAUUCAAAACCCAUUACUGUAAGCCAGCUAAGGACGGUGACUACUAGCCAUCAAGGCCCUCCAAGGCAAGAAUCCAACCCGAGGCCAAAUAUAGAGAGGCUCCAGUUUACGCAUAUUUCGAUGUCAUAUAGGGAGUUGUAUCAGAUUCUAUUCGAUGCUCAUGUAGUGUUCCCUUUCUACUUGAAGCCUAUGCAACCUCUGUUCCCAAAAUGGUAUGAUGCAAAUGCCCAAUGUGAGUACCAUGCAGGGAUAAUCGGGCACUCGAUCAAGAACUGGACUAUGUUUAAAAAUUUGAUAGAAAGAUUUAUCAAAAUGGGUAUCGUAAAGUUUGACACCUAUCAGGACCCAACGUAGCAAGAAAUCCAUUGCCCGAUCAUGUUAAUAAAGGGAUAAAUGUGAUAGUCGAGAGCGGGGGCAAAAGAAUCAAGGCCAAUGUGGCAGAAGUAAAAACCCCACUGAGUUGGGUUCGGAAAUAAAUGGUCGAUAGAGGUUUGAUCAUACAACAUUCAGGGGAAAGACCUAGAGAGGCGAGAAAAUAUGUGAGUUUCAUGCCGAUGAGGGUCAUGACAUCCAAGAGUGCAAUGAGUUCAGGUCUAUAGUCCAAAAUCUAAUGGACAAUAAAGAGAUGGAAUUUUAUGAGAAAACCAAAGGAUUAGAAGAAUGAGAGGUUUACACCUCAGAGGAG
Molecule: long non-coding RNA, 50383 nt
Filed under: Gossypium barbadense (sea-island cotton)
Lineage: Eukaryota; Viridiplantae; Streptophyta; Magnoliopsida; Malvales; Malvaceae
Description: long non-coding RNA (GBAR_LNC009387)
Source: RNAcentral